This 63887-nucleotide long non-coding RNA is filed under the name Coffea arabica (coffee). Its description in RNAcentral is "long non-coding RNA (CARA_LNC000341)". The record is from RNAcentral. Lineage: Eukaryota; Viridiplantae; Streptophyta; Magnoliopsida; Gentianales; Rubiaceae.
AGAGACGGAGACCCUUCUGGCAGGACGAUCUUUGACUCAUCAUUCUCUAAAACUUUAACCACUGGCGCGAUGACACCGUCUUGCCAGAUAUGCUAAAUGCACUCUAGCCGUAGAUUCAGGACUGAUUCAAACAUAUUGUGUUAAUUGGUACUCGCAGAUGGAAAUAGUAAAACAGAGACACUGUCAACUGCUGGAUGGAUUACUUGUCUGAAGUAGAAUGUCGAUAAUACGGAAAAUUUUGUCUGAAUAAUAAGUUCAACUUGUUCAGGUCAAUCAUUACUGGUACGUGUGUGCGUGUCCAUAAAUAUCUAUAUAGCUGCACAAGCGCUCAAGGUUGUUUUGGUUUUGGCCGUGGCAGGGAGCCAUGACUAGUUUGAUAAUGGUUAGAAAAGAAAGUCAAAUUAGACACGAUAUACAGGAUGCAAAAAAGAAGAAGGUCCAGAAAACCGGUGGCAACAGUCAACUAUUGAACCCUUUUCAUCUUUUGCUCACACGAGCUUUACUCUCAUUUACACGAGCAACUGGUGUUCAAAUGGUGUAUUAGUUGAAAAAAAAAAAAAAAAAAAAAAAAGAUUAAAAACGUAUUUAUAAUACAAGUAAAAUAAUAUUUAAAAUAAUUUAUAUAUCCAAAACUCCAAACACGCCCCUUGUUUUUGCCAAAAGCCAAAAUUCUAGCACGGCAAUCCCUCCUGUUGUUUAGAAACAAAUAAUUCAAUAAUCAUAGAGGCAGAGUUCGAGCCAGGAAAGGCCAUCCUCCGUCUUCCUCAAUCCGAGAACAAAGAUUCAAAGAAACCAAUACAUUUGCCACCACAUUAGUGUUUAAGCAAAUUGCUUUGUCAGAUUGUUAUACGAAAAUUGAAAUUGCAAAUCCAAAACAUUAGUAGAGAGCCAUCCGAGAUUGUUACAAGUCAGCCAACAUUGGCAAGCGUUUUAAGCAAACAGCGGCACUCUCCAUGCUGAUGGACACUGCAAGUACUGCAGGGACCGCUGGAUCAGCAUCCUAUUUAUACAAGGCAAUCAGAAUUUUACAAAUUUGGGACUUUCGUUGGCCAAAAAGUACCUUCCCGGCUUCCCAGUUCCCACAGUACUGCAUCCCAGAAACCAAAAGAACUUGCUAGAUUGAAAAGGGUUGGUAAUAUCCUUAACCCUUUCUCGUUUCUAUAAACUACUUUACAAAGAUGAUGCGAGCAAACAGGAAACUAUCAGAAAUACAGACAUCUAAAGAGUUUCAUCAAAAUUGACUCUCCCCCCUGUGGCGAAAAAGUUCCAAAAGAGAGCAGCCGAGAAAUAGAGAAAAGCUGUAAGCAACAAGAAUCCCUUAAAAGAACCCACUAAUUCCACAAAGUAGCCGGCACCAACCGUUCCAACUAUAGCAGCAAAUGUACCAGCAGUAUUUGAUAUACCUAGAGUUUACAGAAGGGACAGAAUUAGGUAAAGAUUUUGAACAAGAAAAUUUCAUGCCUGAUUUUCAUAAAUUAAAGGAAUAAACGAGGUUUGAAGAUAUUAACAGGGAUCUUCUUUUUUAUGUUCAUUGAAGUGUUGAAAGGGGAGGGAGGCUGGCCUUGUAUACUGAGGUUAUACUCCCAUGUAGACAAUAAAUUAGAUAUCGGUAUGUAGAACUAGGAGAUUAAUAGUAGAGGAGAAUAAAGUUGAACGAGUACAAUGCAUAAAACUUUGCAAGAAAAUCAACAGAGUUACCAUGGAGGACGCCUGAAUACUGUGGUGCAAUCUCCUGACAAGGUAAUGGUACAAGAUAUAUCAGGUCUGAUGCAAAAAAACCAACUGAUCAAAUGAUGAAUUUCACGGAAUAUACUAACCUGGAGGUUCACGAGGAAGCCACAAUGACUGAAUGCUUUUAGCCCAACUGCUAAAGUAAGCCAAGCAGAUGCAUUGGAUGGACUUCUUGCCAUUGUUAGACCAACAAGAGCUAUCCCAGGUCCAAUAAAACCAAUUGACUGCAGAGGAAAAAUAAAACUUCAUACAUACUGUAAACUUGUCCCAUCUUGUUCCGUAAGGAAGUAAAAAAGUGAGGUCGAAUGACUAAAUACGAAUCACAUAUUGAACACCAUUAGUGACUAGCUCUAAAGAAGUCUGGUAGAAGUAGAACUGAAUUUAUCACUGAGGCGCAAACAAUAAAACUGAAAGAAAAGUAGAAUUUGAGAAAAAGGGAAGAAAAUAAAAAAGGAAAAGAGCAUAAGACCAGGAACAAUGGUCCAUCAAAACAAAGUUUCCAAUUAACUAGGGUAAAUGAAAUUUGAAAAAUGACUCAGCCAAGAUUUUUGGCUGAGGACAAUAUCCUUUUUAUUUUCUCCCUCGAUUGUUCCAUGUGAUUACUUUUGUACCAGCAAACCCCACAAUAUCAGAGGGACAAAAGUCAUACUGAUCAUAUAUAAACAAUCACAUGCAUAGCCUUUAUCCUGACUUAAAUUCAAACUUUUUUUUUUAAUUUUCCCAAACUUAAAUUCAAAAUCUAGUAAAUCUGUUUCUUUAUAAAUAGCAUUUCCCAUAUACAAAUUACAUAAUUGUAAAGGCCAUUACUAGAGACAUCCUAAACUCAUUUCUCUACUGUCCAUGUGAAAAUUCAUUGGAGUCUAUAAAAUGACUGUCAUACAUUUUGGUGAUAAAGAAAGGGAAAGAAAGAUAAAAGACAUGUCUUGGAACUUACAAGGACAAAGAAUAAAUCGAGUUAGUUAUUUCAACAAUAUAUAUAGCCAAUUGGAAAUUGAUAAAAUUGCCAUACUUGCAUGAUUUUGCGGGUUAAUGUCACACUUAUGCCUCUCUGAAUCAUCAUGUCUGACAAGACACCAGCAAAGUAACCUGCCACGGCCAUCAUGCUCCAAGGAACAGCACUAAACCAUGCUGCUUGUCUUAAAUCAACAUGAUAUAUCUACAAGUAAAAGAGAAACUUUUGAUUCCCUAUCUUCAAAUGCAUAAUGUUAUUUAUCGCAUGUCAUGUACAGACAUAGUUUUUUACCGUCUUGAAAUAAAUGGGCAUCCAUGAAAGUAUAACGAAAAAUCCCUGCAUGAGGUAAACAAAAAAAAGGUAAAUGAUUUCGUAAAGGACACAGACUACAGACUAUAGAGCAGGCGAAGAAUGUCUUUUCCACCAAAAUGCACCUAUAAACAGCCCAUAAAGAUAUGUGACAAUAGUGGAACACAAAUUCAUCUCUCCAAUUUCAAAGUUCGCACUAACCUUCUCUCAAUUUUCUAAAAGACCCAAUAAUCUCACAACUUGCUCCGAAAAUCUUCAGAACUUAAAACAAUGCAUUCUAAUUAUCAAAUAACCAAUUUCCCAAUUAAAGAGUAUCAUUUGAUCUCUCAAAGAACACCUUGUUCUCCUACCCAGUACCAUCAAAGUGGUAACUUUUAAUUCAAUUAUGAGACACACACAAAAUCACCUUUUUGUUUAACCAAUUUUCAAGAUUAACCAAUCAAAGAUACUAGUUCAAAGACAACAGAAAGUUCAUGCAGUGCAUAAAUUACCCAGCUGUGCAUUGCAUUUGCAACAAUCAGAGUCCAUGUUGGUAGCUUAGAAAGCAAGCGCUUAAAUGGAGGGAUAACUUUGCUUUUCUUUGAUUUAUCCUUUAUGACAGAUUGCAUGUUCCCGUCGUUCUGUAUGUACCGCAACUCAUAUGCUGAUAUUUGAUGGCACUUGUCCGGGGUGCUUGAGGUUGCAGAUAUCCAGACCAAAACCCAGAGAAACCCAGACAAUCCAAAUAUAACAAAUGGACCAUACAAACCACCCUGAGACAUGAGAAUGGGAGAAAGUGUGAGUCCAAUAGCACUUCCAAGCUGGAAUCCCGCCAUUGCAAGUCCAACAGCUCUUGAUCGUUCUGUUUGAGGAAACCAUCUAAAAUCAAAGGUUCAGAGAUACCCUUAGCAGUUUGGACAUGCCAAAUCUUCAACACAAUAAGCUUGACAAAGAAUAUAUCAUGUAAAUCAUGAUAAUUAUGGAUUCAAUUUCAUAAAUUGCAUACCUUGCAAUCAUGUUGUUCAUGCAUGGAAGAGCUACCCCUUCUGCAAUGCCAAGCAACAUCCUCAUGGCAAGAAGUGCGCACAAGGAAUUUUCUGCAGCCCAGGGGGUGAGAAAGGUGGCUAAUGACCAUAAAGUGACACCCCAAGCCAUGACAACUUUGCCCCCGUAAAGGUCCACCAAAGUUCCUCCAGCUAUUGGCGAUAUUAGGUAUCCCCAGAGAAAAGAUGACUGCCAUUAGUAAGUAAAUUAAUGAGACAGCCUAUAAUGUUUAGAAGCUGUUUUUAGAACAGAUCUUGAGCCACUCACUGUACUCCUUUUUGUCAAAGAACAAGGUUUCUUUACCAAUGUGAUUGAAUUCACUCCUAAGUGGGUCCAACUGUCCUUUUAUUCUCCAUUUAACAGUUAGAUGAUCACUUCAAAAGAUCCUACAGAAAUGUAAUGCUCACGUUCUCAAGCAAGACAGGGAAACAAACAAAUGGCACUUGACAUCCUGUUUCCAGCAUUCAAAUAUAUGCCAUCGAAAACUUAAUAAUCUAUCUCUAUAUGCGCAUUUCAAUUCAGCAGGAGAAUUUGUAUACAAGUGGUAUGGACAGAUAUCCAUUGGUUUUAUUCUUUAAGAAACAAAAGGAUCCAAAAGCUUCAGUCACAAGAACAAGAACCACAACAUGACAAAGACAGGUUAUUUAGGCAAAUAGACAAAAGUAAAUGCUGACAUCACUUGAACUCCUGGAAAACAUUACUGGGAUUUAGAAAAACCAACAGACACAAAAUGCUGCAAGAAUUUUCACCUUAAAAAUGAAAAACUAUCUUCAAGGUGAAGAACUCCAAUCAUAUGCAAAUAUGACUUACAAAUCAACUUGUAUGUUCUGAUGUAAAGUCAAUUCCAGUAAAUAUGAAACACUAAUCACAGUCUGCUUUUUUUACGUCAAAUCCUCUUGUUCUCGAGUAAAUAGCAAAACAGCAAAAAGGAAGAAUGACUUGAGCACAAUCGCCAGAAGUACAAAGAUUGCUACCUUCCACGCAAAAUAAAUGUUGUUUUUUAUUUUUAUUAUUAUUCUCUUAUGUGACCUUUUUCUGUUUAUAGUUCAUAACAUCAUCAUAUAGUUGACCUUUGUAUUCAAAGGCAUUCUCCAGGACAAAUCUCCAGAAUAAAUUUUCUAUAAUGGUAAGACCAACAUAUACCGCAUGCAAACGCUCUCAAAUUCCAAGAGCUAAUCUUCAAAAAUGCUGGAUCACAUACUCAGCAGUUAGGCUAAAUGAACCCUUUUCUACCAUUCCGCUUUAUUUAAGGUUCAUACUUUCUUUCGAAUUCCAAGAGUUAAUCUUCAAAAAGGCCAAAUCACAUACUUUGGGAUUAGGCCAAAUGAACCUUUUCUUCCAUUCCGGCUUUAUUCAAGGCUCAUACUUUCUCCAAGUUCAAAAGAAUAAAUACAUUUCUUGACAUUUUUAUUCCAGUUGUGGGUUGAGAUGAAUAGGCAGGAAAACAUCACCCCAUUUCAUGUUGAACAGUUAUUUAGAAAUGUUAGGAAACACUACAACAGUAAUCCAAAGCUAAGUCAGGAAAAUAAAACAACGAUAUAGCAGUCAUAAUUUAAAAAAAAAAAUUACCUGGACAACCCCGGCGAAAGAUUGACGCCAGCCAUGAGAAAGCGAGAGGGGAACGAUAGCGACCGACAUGACGACUCGGUCAGCAUUACAAAGUGCCAAAGCUAAAGCCAGCAUAGCCACCACCUUGACUCUCUCGGAAGUAAUAAACUCCACCGCACUCGGCUGACGGAAUUCGCCUCCGCUGCUACUGGAAAUCGACCUAGAACCAUUCGACGAAGAAGCCCUAAUCGGUAGAAUCCGUUCACUUCGAAGUCUAGAAGAAAAUUCAGUUGCACAAGCAGUGCUGGUUUUACUCCACCAAUUACGAUGGUUCAAUUUACAGGGAAGCUUAGAAGCACUAGAAUUAGUUAAUGGCAGUUGCCUUUCCGAAGGUUUAGGGCUCUUAAUCGGGGUUGGGCUGCUGACGGGAAGCGGGCAGCGGAGAGCAGCCGGAGAAUUCAUUCUGCAAUUGGGUCCAAGUCAGCAAUUUAUACGAAAUCCAUUCCCUGAGUUGGGCGAUAUACUCGGUGUUGAACUAAAUUCGAGUAAUCUAUCAAGUGAACACUAGUGAUCAGGAACAUAGGCUGCCGCCUGAAAUACUACUCCUUACUACUGGAACCCAAAGUCGAAAUAGCACAACAGUGCUGCUACUCCUACGUAGCGACGAAAAUGCCGCGGUGUUCUUCUUGGCAGUUUAUUAAUGGCUAAGCUAAAGACCAUAGCAGGAAUCUUAUAAAGUUUUGGCUUUAGAUAAAUCGAGCAGAGAAGGAACCUGUAGACUAGUAAACAAGGACGAGACUAGCUCAUCGGCCGCAUGAGCCUGAUGUUUUUAUCUUCUGAGCUUGAAACUUGGUGCCGUACUGCUACUGUUGUUGAUGCGUUGGGUUCGUAUUCUCGAAUCUAAUAAUAAUAGUGGGUGAUUCACCUUACAUGUUUGGUUUAAGAGUAAUAAAUAGAUUCUAUUUUUUAUUAACAAAAAAUUAAUUUGAAACCCGAUCUAUGAGACGGGAAUGAUUCUGCACGUCAAUCAAAUAAAUUAUAGACCAAUUGGCUGGAUGGAUGUUUCUCGUGGAUUCCACCUUAGAUUGCUCGUUUGGGCCGGUGUGUUCGGUGUUAUCUCUGCGUGUCUAUUCAUUAUUUGGGUGUGUGUGUCUAUUUCGCUUCGGCAAAAAAAAAAAAUCAAAUAAAUUAUAGGUAUCAUUAUUAAUUUUGAUGUGUGUUCCUGUCCCUUGAACUUAAAUUUCCAAACAUUUUUACAUGUUAACUUUGGACAUAGGGUUAGCUUUGAAGGAAUAGGAAGGUACGGAGAGGAAAGAAUAAGAAAUGAAAUGGAUGAAUAAAGUUUCAGAUUUUGGAAUAGUGAGAGAUAUAUGUAAGAAUUUGGAAUAAAAAUUUCAGAUUUUGUUUUGCUUGCAUCAUACACACAAUUCCCAAUCACCUUUUUAUCUCACAUACAUCACAUCACAAAAAGUGCUACAGUAACUGAAUCAAAUAAAUCAUCCAAAUAAAUUCUUAUCCAAACAAACUCCUCUCGAGAUCUCCUUAAUUUUUGUCGCCCAACUUUCUGUCCAAAAGCAGACGGAAACAAAGGUAAAGGUGAAAUUUUUAUAUAAUUUUCCAAAAAACUCAUGUGUUUACAAAUUAAACUUAUAAAUUAUUAUAUAUAAAAACAUAACUAAUACAUAAUAAUUUCUUUCAUUUCCUUUCCCUCUCUAAUCCAAACAAAUAAUAAGUUAAUUUUUUUUCUUUCAUAUUUAAUUGAAAUAAAACACAGAUGAAAUUCACUUUCCUCUAAUCGCCUUUUCUUUUCUUUUCUUUUUUUGCCCUUUCCUUCCCUUUCUUUUCCACUAAAGUCCUCUCACUUUUCCUUCCUUCCCUCCCCUUCAAUUCAAAUGCAUCUCUGUCUUUUUCUUUUCUUUUAUCUUUUGUAUUUUGUGUUUUAUCUUUUGUAUUCUGUUAUCAUGAUCACAUCCAAUUAUUUUCAGAAUCCGAUCCAGUGCCUAGUCAAAUUACUCUGUAAUGACAAAUUUCAAGAUACAAGUGCAAUCAUCUCUUUGGUAAGCCAAACAAUUCGUCAUCAGCUGCUCUAUCUGACUCUGCAUGAUUAUACCAACCACUAAUCCAGUUCAACAUUAAAGCAGAAGCAGUUAGCAGACGAAUAACUACUUCCUUUCCCCGUGUUUCAAAUCGUGCAGAGACCAUUGAACCCCUUCCCCUUCUGUAGAGUCAGCGGCAUUAAGUUCGGAAAACUUUCGAACAAAUUACAGCUCGUUCAAUUCAAUGUGCAGAAGAGCUUCGGUAGAAUGGGAACGCUCCAGGCAUCGAAGCAAACAAUUAAUCCCGGAAAAUCUUAGUGAUCUCAAAGUCUAUCUGUAUGUCCAGCUAGAAUUCACUCCAGACUUCCCAUUUGUCUGGUAUCUCGUUCCAGAAGAAUAUCUUCCAGUUCCAUCUACAGAAAUAGAAAAGGCCGCUACCCCAUGACCUACUAAUUUGAGAAGCUAGCAAAAGGUUCAGCUUUUCACUGUAUGUCCAUACUGUCCCUGGCUAUAAUCCUACAAUGUGAAGCUGAAGUUAUGAAACCAUAAUUUUCUCUAAACAUCAAACCGUAGAUUCUAUGAUACAUAAUGACAUAGAAAAUCAACAGCCACAGUUGAUACCUGCAGGAGACAAUCUUCAGGCAACCUAUGAAACCCUAGGGAGCCUCGUGACAUGUUUUUUCUGGCGGCAAACUUACACUCUGUUGGUGCAAUUGUCACAAUCGGAAUAUAUUCAGCCAACAUCACUGCUGAAAAUUAAGAAUGAAGCAUCAAAAGAUUUCAGUCAACCGUGAACCCACUUCGACUUAAUUAUAUCAGAAAUUACCGCCCAAGUGUGCUGUCUUACUAACCAAACAACCGCAGUCUAUGUCACAAACUCCAUUAGACAGGCUGACACAACAGAAGUAUACAUCUUACACUGGUUGCAAUCACUCUACAAAGCCACUAUCCUUCACAGUUAAUGCUUUGGGAGAAAAGUUCAUCACCAAUUACCUAUUUUUUUUCCAGCAAUCUGACUCUCCAAGUACAGGAAUACAAAGCUCGGUGUCUGCUGCAGACAUCCUUCUCAGGAUUCCACAAUUACUUCUGCCUUUCUACACUGUUCCUGUGGUUACUGUUGUCACUUGCAGCUCCUUGUUUUUAGCUGACAGUGUACUCUAGAUACUGCUAAUUUAAUUCCAAUGUAUGAAGAUUAAAUUAAUUUUACUUGAUGUGCAAUACCACCAAGUGGUGACCAUUUGAAGGAUUAGAUUUCUUGUGCUAUCCACAGGUAUGUGAGCUCACCAAUUAAACAGAGUUAAUAACAAUAGAUGAAUUUGGCAUUGUUUCUUCUGCUCUGAAGUUUGACCAUGCAUCAAACACAAUACCACAUACAGCAGAUUCAAAAUUCAAGUAUAUUUAACAACUAGAUGCAAACUUGUAGGAAGAUCUGUACAUAAGCACAAAAGGCAACUAAAACUUAAAAGAUUUAAAUCUCCACCAGUUUCUUUCAAAUUUCAAAAUGAACGCUUAUUGCUAACAUGCAAUUAUAAAUUUCAUUAUCUAAGUAGAAACAUGUCCCUGAUGUCAAAAUAAAAGUUUCUGCAUGUAUUACAUACAUCCAGUGAUCACAACAUCACAUUUUGCUUGCAUGUUUACCAAACAGUGAAUGUCGGCCUUCGGCAAUAAGCUCUCCUGUUAAUUUGUUCCUCACGAUCACAAGUGUUCCAGAAUAACCACCUUUUCGACCUAGAAGUGUCGAGACAAUCUCCAAUUCAUCCUGAGAAAGUAAGAUAUUCAACUAAUCAAGUCAAAAACCAACAUUUGCCAAUCAAACAAUUUCACAUUUAGCCAAUAUGUGACGCACAAAACCGAUUAGCCCCUGAUCUGGUAAUAACAAGAAUACCCUCUCUUUUUUUCCCAAUUUGCAAUAAGAAUACCAAUAUAUUGGAUCGAUAGCCCUUAUCAAGUUAUCAAACAAUCCAGCUUAAUAACGAAGAGAUUUAUUAACGCACAAAUGAAAGUAUUAUUAACUAAAACCAGAAUAUCUGAAUUACUCGUUCAUUAACAUGAACAUUAGAUAUUCCAACACGGAAAUUGAAAUCAUUUGAGGAGGGCUUACAUCAAGUUUGGCAGUUGAGAGGUAAGAAAUGGACAUAUCCACUGAAACAUUCAUGGGGAGUCCUUCCACGUGGACCAAAGCACCACCCAUUUCAUCCACUAGGUUGGCCACCGCCCCUGAUGCCAAAUUUCCAUUCCUAUCCUGAACGAAGACCCACAAAAAUAAAUAAAUAAAAUGACUGAAAAAGGUUCACAAAUUUUAGUCAAAAUUCAAAUAGAAAAUAAAAUACCUACAUAAUCAGUUGAAACUACUCAAAGAACUCAGCUGUAAUUUUGCUAAUAUCUCAAAAUACGGGGAACUUUACUUACGAUGAGGCGAGAAGGGACUUUGAAAGUGCAGGAAACGUAGCCAGGUUCGACUCGGUCGACUCGGAUACCGCGAAGGGCGUAAUACUCGUAGAAGCUAGAAUCGAGAUGGGGUCGGUGAGGAGGGAAGGUGAGUUGGGAUACGCGGUCGGACUCUUCCUUGGCUAGCUGAAGAGAUUCCCUGGCGUUCUCCAUUUUGGGUCCUAUCUGAGCUCUGGCAGGAGUAUGGCAUACGAGUCCAUGAUUGUCUUCAAUUUAACGCAAUCAAGGCCGUCCGAAGGCGCCGUUUGGAUUGAGGAAAAUAAAAACGAAAUGAAGGGAAUGGGCAUCAGUGGAAAAAAAAAAGGGUACAGGAAAGCCGUUUCUGGCUAAUAAAUGAAAGAUUUGUUUAGAUUAAGGAAGAAACGAAAAGAAAGAAAAACAUCAACUGUUACCGAACACAAACAAAAUAAUUAGACUAUUUCCCUCCUCAGAAAUCAACAUAAAUUUAAUAAUAAAAAAAAAAAAAAACUAAUCCCCUCCAAUUCCUUUCGUUUUCUUUCCCUCCCAUUACCUCAAUCGAGAUUAUGCCAAAGUUUCUAGAAUUAUGAAAAACGAUGUUAUAAAGGGUUAAUUUUACUUUACUCCCUUGAAUGUUUGGAGUGGUUCAUCUUUACCCCUUAAAUAAAAAAUUAUUCAGUUUAUAGUAUAAGACUGACUAAUUGUCAAACCAAUUCUUAGACUGGUAUCAUUUGCAAAGGCAAUGUAAAGACAUAUUACAAAACACUUUAGAGAAAAUAAAUUUAUUUUUUCAUAAUUAUUUGGUGGUAGUGAGUUUAGAUGUAUGAUAUAGCAUUUUGAUUCAAAUUUUAAAAUUUUUAUUUUUACAUGUGACAUGUUUCUAGAUUCACUAAUUUAACACACAAAAAAAAAUCCACUAAUAAUAUACGAAUCAUUAAUUCAACAAAUUAGCCAUAUAAUCAGUUGCUAAAUGCAUUGAAAAUAGGAAAAUCAUUCAAAAGUCCUAAAAUUAAUUCUAUUCUUCUACGUGGCUUAAGGUAGAUUCUCUUUAGAGUUUACUGAGUAGAUAUAAGUGGUGAAAUUUGGGAAAAAGAAAAGUUUUCAUGCUCUGAGAAUUAUAGAAAGCAAGCCCAUAUAAAAGAUCUUCUGGACCUCAACUACAAAUUUUUUUUUUUUUUUGGAGUAAAAAAUAGCUUUUUGAACAUGCCACGAAAUUUUUUGUGACAUCAUCGUAUUCUGUUACAAAAUAUCAAAGGUCCUAGUUGUGGUGGGGGAUAAAAUGAAACUGACCCAAUCUUAAAAUCGGGGGAAUAAAAGCAACAAUUGCAGUUACAGAUUGACGGAUUGCAUCCUUCACGUGGUGUAUUGCUAAUUUAUCAUUUAAUAGUGUGAUUACUCUUUUUUUUUUUUUCCGACACAGGGUGCUCGGAUCAAUCCUUACGAGUCCAAUUAAUUCCCUGUGAUCCGAGCCGACGCCCAACCCGGCCCGAAUACGUUAAUAGUGUGAUUACUCGUUGACGGACUAUUGAUAUUAGUAAUGUAUAUUGAGCAUCUAACAUUUCCCCCCUUAUUCAAUAUUUUUAUUUAUUAUUGGAUUAAUUUUUUAUAUACUGACGGUUUAGUAAAAAUUUUUUACACCAACGAAUAUGAAUUUAUAUCACAUGUGCAUUAUUUGAAUUUUAAAAUUGAAUUCAUUAUUGUUUGACAUGUUUAAACCUACUAGUGUAAAAAAAAAAAAAAUUGUACACCGAUAAUAUACAAAAAACUUUUAUUCUUUUAUAUUUUUCCGCUUUGUUGGUUUUUCGACAUUAGUUGACCCUAUCACUGGACAACCGUUUCUACGUUGUCUCUCCCACGCUUCUCUUUUCAUCCCCAAAUAUCUUAUCCAUUUUUUUCCCAUUCAACCUCUUAGCCAAGUAAUUAAAAGUGCCAAUUUUCUAUGGGUCUGACAAACGAGGGAGUAGGCAUUGGUUAAGAUAGAAUUUAUUUGUUGAUAUUUUAAUAUAACAUAAUAUAAUUAUUAGUAUGUGUAUUUAUAUAUGAUAAAUUAUAGAAUUUAUUUGUUGAUAUUUUAAUAUAACAUAAUAUAAUUAUUAGUAUGUGUAUUUAUAUAUGAUAAAUUAAGUGUACUAACCAAUGCUACAUUAGAAAAAUCCGUCUUUUAUUUCUUUCCCUCUCUAGUGUUGUUAAGGUUGGUGUAAAUAAUUUAAUGGAUUGCAUGAAUAUCUGUGGUUUUCUUCCUAAGAAAAAAGCCAAUUGGCCGGUUUUAAAGUAGUACUGCUUCUUUACCCAUAAAUUCUAGCUAAAGCUAUCUUCCCACAUUUCGUUGAUGUGGACCAAAGGUUAAGUUGUCCUUAAUAUCAAAUACUCCCUCUGUCCCACUUUGAUAGUCCUAUUUCUUUUUUCACACAGUUUAAGAAAAAGUAGUUAAAUUUUGUUGGAAAAGUAAAUUUAGAUUGUUAUUUUUCUAAAAUGCCCUCACAUUAAAUAUGGUACAACUUUAUGGAAACUUGAAUUGAUGGUAAAAAAAGAAUCAACUCUCAUUAAAUGGGGUAGAUUUAUAGUAACAACUACUUACAUUAAAUAAAAGUAUUUUAGGAAAAUUAAAAUACAACUAUAUUUUUCAAUUGGAAAGUAGACUACAAUUUGGGACAAUGAAAAAGGAAUACAGGACUAUCAAAGUGAGACGGAGGGAGUAUUAAUUAAAAGGAUUAAAAGAGGGAAGGCAGAGACAGGAGAGUUGUUGGGUGGUAUGCUGAGAACAUUUACUCGUUGCGAAAUGUUAGCCAAGAAAUAAAUCAAGGAGAAGUUUCUUUUGCCCAAAAAUAAAAGGAAAACAUUAGUAAGACUAAACAGAGAUGAAUGUUAUUUGCAUUCUAGUUUUUGUUAUUUGUAUUCUCACAAUUUGUUUUAUAAUAUAGUUUAAUAAAUGAAAACUAUAUGAUAAAAAUAGUAGUAGUGUAAAUGUGAUUAUCAAAAAUAAAUCAAGGGAAUUGAUAUUUCGAACUCCCUAUUUAGUUUCUUGCACUCCAAAUCACUCACUAAAAAUAUAGCCUUUAAAGAGUGCUAGAGGCUAAUUAAGAAGUGCAAAUAUUACUUUUCUAAAUCGAGGGUCUGUAAACGGUACUAUUUAAAAUGUAGUUUAGGUGUUGAAUUUUUGAAAAAAUAAAAUUAAUUACAAUUAUGCACAAAAUGCAAGAGAGGGUGAUGAUUAUCGAUGCUUAUUCGCAUAAUUAGUAUUCAAUAAACACUCGUUAGAAAAAUCUAUAAAAUCAAUAAAAAAAAAAAAAAAGAAACACAACAAUGCCAGCAUGGUUAACAUACAUAAAAAGGGUGCAAAUCCCAAGCCCCAGAGGCAGCCCAAGGGAACCCCGGAUUGAGUGAGUGAGGGUUUUUCGAAGGAAAGGCCCAGCGUCUGCCUGUUCACACUUAACUCAUCCAUUCGUCUUCGGAUACCUUGUCUUGCAACUCUGCCAUUUUCGUUUUCUGCACUGUUACUUAUCACAGUACCACUACUGUCACCACACCUCUUAAUCUUGUUUUCUUCCACACUUCUUCACACCAUCUCCACCCCUGUUUGCAGCUCCACCUUCUAAAAAAUGAACCCAUUUCGGAUCACCCAUUUCCAAAUCCAAUGACUCGUAAUAAACCCGAAUUUCAAGCCCAUCCACCUCGUACCCGCCGCCUUUCCUCAUGUCACCUCCACCCGGCUGAUCCGGCCACCGGCAUUUGCGCUUCUUGCUUACGCGAGCGCCUCUGCGGCCUCGACUCUUCCGCUGACCUCCUCGAACCCUCUUCUUCUGCUGCAGUCAUCCCGUCUCUCGGCAAUGGCGACCUCGCCGGAGCUGGACCAGUUAAUUGCCUGAACAAAGCUGCAGCCGCCACGUCGUCUCCGGAGUUGCGCCGUUGUAGGUCUGUUUUUACUGCUAAAUGCGAAGCUUCCACCAGCUUCGCCGAGCCCAGGCGCAGGUCCUGCGACGUUAGGGCUCGAAACGUGAAAAGUCUGGCCCAUCUGUUUGAUGUGGACGAUGAAUGUAGUAAUGGAUCUAACAGGGAGUCCAAGGUUGAAUCCAAGAAUAUUACCACGGCUGCUGCUGCUGAGUUUGGAGAAGAAAUUAAAGUAGAAAAUGCAGGAGGAAACAGGGAUCCCCAUGUUGCAUUCAAUGGGGACGAGGAGGAGGAGAAGGAGGAUGAUUUGGAAGAUGGAGAGGUCAAGACGAUGAAAGAACACAUAGAUCUAGAACUGCAGAGCAAGGGCCAGAGGUCGAAAGAUUUUAAGGAAUUAGCUGGAAAUAUAAGGGAGGCAGCUUCUGUUUUCAGCAAGAAAUUGCAAAAAUGGAGGCAGAAGCAGAAGAAAAAGGUUCUUUAUGGCAAUGAUGGAGGCACUGUUGGUGGGAUUAAUUGUGAAGUACAUGGUCCAAAAGGGAAGAAAUUGGAGGAAACUCAGUCUGUGGCUGCGGAUUAUGCAAUGGGCAGGAGAUCUUGUGAUACAGAGCCUAGGUUUUCUGUUGAUGCUGGGAGAUUGUCUGUGGAGGGCGGGCGCAUUUCGAUUGAUGAGCCGAGAGCUUCUUGGGAUGGGUAUUUGAUCGCUAGGACUAUUCCCAGGCUUGCUCCGAUGUUGUCAGUUGUGGACAAUGCGAUUUUAAGUGGCGGAAAUAGGAUUGAUCAUCAUAGAGUAUCUGUUGACGGGCAAAUGCAUUCGAUAAUGGAAGAUGAGACCAGUUCUGGAGGGUCAGCUCAGUCUAAUUCGGAUUCCUCGUCUUCUCAAAGGCGAAGUAGUUUUGAUAGGUCAAGCUCUGUUAGGAGUUUUGGGAAGAAGAUGGCGGUAUUGGAUGGGGAUUAUGCGAAGGCCUCUCCUGGAAGGCUGGUAAUUACGGAGAGGGAAUUGAAAGAUUGGCAUUUGAAUUCGAUCAAAGAUGAUCACAAGAAGAAAUUUGAAUCUUCUUCCAGGGAGAACUCUCCUGCUCUUGAAGAUAGAAGUAAUUUGGGGUCAAAGAAGCCUGUUAGGUGGCGAAGGGUGUUGAACGUGUUUGGUUUCAAGCAAAAGUCCUGUGAAAACAAGUUUGAAAAACCAAUGGGGGAUUGUUCACCUGCUCAGGCUUGUGAGAAGCAAGAAAAGGAGGCUGGUGAAGAAAUCAAAGCUGCCACUCAUUGGAAGCUUAUGAGGAGCAGUAGCAUUGUUGGUGCAAGACGUUCUUGUGAGGUGAUCAGGUCAAGUAAUGGUAUGAUGAGUCUUGGUGAUGAUUCUGACUGGGCCAACAGGAGCCGGGAAGAAUUUGUGCUGGGACGAAAUCACCGAGCUACAUAUGCUUCAAGCAAUUUGGAUGAUGGUGUUUUACCAUUUUAUUUGACACCCUUGAGGACUUCCAGGAACGGGAAAUCGAGAAGGGACAAGCUGCAAGACUCACAUUUUGUUGAUGGGAGUCUUUUACGGCUCAACUGAAUAUUAAAAUUUCUGAGUGCGCAUUGAGUUAAUACUAUGACUUUGUAAGGAUUACUAGUUGUUUCUCUUCUUGUUUAUGGGUGAUAGCAAGGCAGGACCAGCAUGUUGUAACUCUACUGUUUUUAGGCAGUAUCCAUGACAUAAUAAUACGAGUUACAGCAUUUUUGUGUCUUGGUUUUCCACAUGUUUGUUCCUUUUCAUUGUUGGGCUCUUAUUAUGCCUAAGAAAUAGUGAAAGUUACCAGCAGCAAUAUGUGCUUUGAUGACAUUUGUUAUUGUGUAAGAAUUACUCGGUACUAUAGAUAUCUAAAGUGCUCUUAUCAGCAGCCUCCGAUCCCCAAUUAUGGUGGCGCAAAUUUCCGGAGAAGUGCAGGUUCAGUGGCUUAUUCAGCCCCCUACUAUAUUGCAUCCCCCAUACUAAUGAAAAUUUUGCUUUCGAGGACAAAUUACAAUAGGCAUUUAUACAGAUGGAUUAAAAAAAUGUAGAUCUAGUGGAGGCGCGAGACUCGACUCAAAUAAAGAUUCGCAAUUUGCGCUUCUUGGCACCGGUUCUAAUGAAAAUCCAACUUGUUCUCCCCCAUACUAAUGAAUGAGAGUCAGAUAUAGCUUUCGAAAUUAAGCCUUUAAAAUGGCACAAUCGCCUUUCAGCUGAGACAUCAAAACGCACAACAACAAACAAGUUGAUAGAUAUGAAUGAACUUUACAUGCCUUCAAGAAAACUGAGUUUGGAAAACCUAGUCCUGCUUCAGCUAUUAUACUAUCUACAAACAAAGGAUGAACUCCACACACAAGGGCAUGGGGUGUCAUAAGAUCAGAAAGUUGCUUAUUGCAGCAUCAUCUUCGACCCAUCAGGUAUUUGGUCUUCACAUAUUUGGAAAUACUUGAGGUAACAUGAUUGGCCUGGAGCCGCUUUCUAGAUCCCUUGGCAGGAGGAGUCUCUUCCGAUUCAUCAUCUGUGUCAAUCCUUGAAGAGCCCAACCUGGUUUGUUUAGCUAUUCGCCGUAGAAUAUGUACAUUUAAGUAGUAAUUUACUAUUGUCUCUCUGCUUUGACAAGGUAAGUACUCAAGGGCGGAAUUGAUUAAACUCUGACCAAAAGAUUUGGCAUGUAUUCUCACAACAUCCUUGAACUUCUUCUGUUCUUCCAAAGUCCAUAACUUGGAAACAUCUUCUCCCAUGCUUUCAAAUUUCCAUUGCCAAAAGGCAGGCCCCAGAUCAGAUUGCAGCUGGAUUUUCUUAGCAUUGAUGUGCUGUCUAACGCAUUCAACAGAUCCAGGGGAUACACAUGAACAAGACUUGGGUCUUCCUUUUCCGAUCACAUCUCCAGAGACUUCCAGGCUUCUGCCUUUAGUUGGCCAUACCUUGAUGCUUAACCACUUUGAACUGCGAGAUUUCCUGUGCAUGUUGUGCUGACCAUUCUUGUGUAGGGAAACAGGCAAAGCUGGCAGAUCAGCCUGAAAACGAGGUCCGACUGGAAUUGCGAGUCUGAGACUAUCAUCACAUAUGUACUCUAUCCAACCUUUAGGAACUGGAUCGUUCUCCUUCUGGAUAUGGAGUUCCUUUGAGGGCUUCAUUUCUUCGUCCUUCUGAAGACAAUCAACAAUGAGAAAAAUGCUCCAAAGGGACUGGCAAUCUCAAGUACUUUGUAGGUGUAGGUACACAAGCAAAUAGAUGCAAGAUGCUUGAUACUGCUAAGCACGUUCGUUAGUCUAGAUAAAAUAGGACAAUGCACAAGAUGAACUCCAACGAAUUGCUAAUUUGAACUAUAGAAUUCAUGAAAAGAAUUGUGCAAGACUCAGUGCAUUCAUGCAAUAAAAGACACAUCAAGCACCAUCACCUGUCAUUAUUUUUAACCAGUAAAGCAAGGGGAAGGAACCUGUUCAAGAUGGAGAAGAUGAUAUUAGCAAGCGAAUAGCUUCUUCGGAUUGCACGAUUCCACUCUCCCAAUACUGUGUGCUGGGGGAGGCUGUAAUGCUAUUGAUUAAAAUUGAUUUUAUGUCAUCGUAGGCCGCUAAAUUGUACAGAAAAGAAAUACUACUAUCAGUUAGCAAAUACUACAUGCAGACAACAGUUUUCAAAAGCACCUCAAAGACACAGAGCUAGCGAUUCAGCAAAAUAGCUUUGCCUUCCACCAAAAGAAGGCGUUGCUUUGCAUAAGCAAUUGAUUUUGGUGACGACAAUUCAUUGCUUCUCCUCCGAAAAAAAAAAGGAGAGAAAAUAGUUCAUUUAUCUUACAACACAAAAUUUCAAGAAGCCCACCAAGCUUGUACUCUGUUUAUGGAUUCCAGCCAAUAAACGGAGGCCAACAAGAUUCUAGCAUGAGAUUGAAAUUAUCUGUUACAAGAAUAUGCGGGGAAAUAAAUAAAAUCAAAUGAAAUAAAAAAAAACCUCCAUUUUGCUGGUAAUUGCCGUUUACGUUUAGAUGGUCGGAGCAAUCUUCAUUGAAAACAAGAGAAGCAAAAAUUUUGCUGAAUCGCUUAAGCUUCAAUCUACCCAUGCAUGAAUUGAAUAACACAUUUCUAGUGUUGCGAAUUCUACACAACUUGAAUUGAAUUCGAGUUAUCCAUUUACCGGUGCACCGGGAAUUAAUAUUCAAGAAAAUUUCUGAUAUAUGAAAUUAAACCCUAACCCUGGAUAUCGGCUAAACAGAGCGUCCGAACCGAUAUUAGAGGAAUUUAGGAUUCAAGAAGGAAUUGUAUUGUUUCAAUGAUUUUUUUUUGGGCUGUCAGACUGCAUAUUUUUUUCAUUUUGUUUUAAACGGAUAAAUAGUAUUUAGCAAAUUUCUUUAUUCUUAGACCAGAAAUAUCCGCAAAUAUUUCAGCUAAAAUCUCUAAAACGAAUAUCCAAGGAAGAAAAUUACCAACAAAAAAAUGGUUACUAGGAUUAACUAAUUUUGAGUCAUAGAAAUUAAUUUUUUAAUUUAUAUCCAAAAAAAUUGGGAAUUUUUAUUUGUAAAACUUAAAUUCUUUUGGGAGAGGGAAAUGGAAUGCAAAUUAUGGUAAAAUGAUUGAAAGUAUAACAAAUACCUAAAAAAAAAUACCAAUAGAUAAGCCUCUUCUAAUGCUUUGAUCUUCUUCGACAAUUUUUAGUAAGAAACAAUUGCCUGUCUUAUGCCUCUGAUUCUUGCUAUUAAAGAUGAUACAACAACAAAUAAAUGAAGACAACUAUAAUGUGAAGGAAAAAGGUGACAAAUAGCUUUUGGAGAAAAGGAAAUUGACUAGUAUAGUACUUUUCCAAAGAGUCCCUAUAAAGAAUGGAGUUUGGGAACACACACCUAUAUUGUUAUGGAGAGGUUGAACACUUAAAGAUGCAUGUUGCUCUUCUCAAGCAUAGCCCUUGCAAUAUAACAAAUGAGAGUUGUGGGAAGCUAGUUGACACAAUAUAUAGGUGGCAAGUGAGGACUUGCAUCAUCCCUCAAAGCCAAUCAACUCAAUUCUCAGGCUUUAAUAGUUCAUUUGAAUUACUAAAUGAGAUGGUAGCCCAUUAAAGAAGGGCCUUUAGAUUUACAUAGAUCCGAUCUAGAGACCUACUUAUAGACCGUGUAAUUUAAGAGAAAUUCACCUAUAAGAAGUGAUUUAAAAUCACGAUAUUUUAAAUAAUAGAUGCAAAUAUAAAAUUUCUAAAAUCAAGAAGAUGAGCUAUCUUUAGUUUAUGACUGUCGCUUAAAUAGGACUUUCCAAUCGAAUAGCAUAUGGUCACAGUGAUGUAUGACAAUGUAAGAAAAGUGAUAGUAAAUAUUAAAGUCUGUCUAAUGGGUGCUUAUAUCACUAAUAUUAUUUUGAAAAUUACAUACAUUAUACAAAUCAAAAUUGUCAUUGGAUAUAGGAUUUUAAAAUCUAUAAAUAAGAUAUCGAUGUAUAUCCCUAAAAUUUUAGGUAAGAGAGAAAAUAAUAGUAGGUUUUGGAGGUUAAGCAAGUAAUAUAAUACAAAAAUCCAAUUGAUUUUUUUUUAUUAUAAAAAGCAGACUUCAUUAACAAAUUAUUGAAAAUCGUCCAGCGUGAUUUGAUCUAUAUCUCUACCCUAAUGGUAGGUUAAACAUAAAAAUUACAAAUCUGCAUUUUAACAAAUGCAAUAGAUCCAAAAAAAUUAUGAACAAAUCUAAAAAAUAAAAGAAAUUUCAAAAUUGUCUCUAACAGAUAAAUCACUGUAGCUCCCUACUAUGUAUAUUCCAAUCACUGGGUUUAUUAAUCAAUGAUUUUAAACUCUAAUAAUAUGAUGCGAUCUGUCGAAUUAGAUCCAAAAUUCCAAAAAUAUUUCAGAUUUGACGACCAAAUCUGAAGUAAAUUAAGAUCUAAAAAUAAAAAAAAAGAAGAAAAACACAAAAAUCUCCAUAGUAAUCUAUAGGAGAAUAGAAAAUUCUCACUUAGAAUUUCUAGGAGAAAUAGAAAAGCUUCAUUAAAAAAAAAUUCAGGAAAGAGUUUAUUAGAAAAACAAAACAAAACAAAAUGAAAUUCAUGGGAAGGAGACCAUCACGUGAUCUCCCUCCCUAAGGGAAUGUGUUUUAAGAGAGGAGGGGAAAUUGGGAAAAGUUGAAGAAGAGGAGAGGUAGAAAGAAAAGGGUUGAUUUCUGAUAAGAUAAACAGGUUUGCAAAAAUCCAAUUGAUGGUUGAGGAUUGUAUAUAAAAUUUCCAAACUAAGAAGAUGGGGGAAGGUUAAGUUGGGUGGUAAAACGGAAAAGAUUGUAAAUAUAAGGUUCUAAAUUCAAAAUCACAUUUUAAAAAAAAAUAAAAUAGAAACUAGGAAGAUAACUGAAUAAUCUUUCCCAAUCACUUAUAUAUUAGCAAAAUGAUAAGAAUAAAAGAAAAUUUAAAAGUACCCGUUUUCCAUGGGUUCUUCCAUUGAUGGGCUCAGUGUCUAUAGAAUAAAUUUUCUUCGCUAAAUUGCCUUUUCUUUUUUGCUUUUGAUCCAUCGCCAAAAUGAAAUUGUGCUGCAUAAUAUGCAUGGAGUGGGUCAAAUUAAAUGAGUUGGUAUAUUGAGUAGCUCGAUAAUUAUUCGAUGUCUCUUUUUUCUAUUAAAGGAGAUGGUCAAGUCUGCAUUCCAUCAUACUAAUAUUUAUUUUUAGUACAACAUUGUUACAAUUAAUACUAUAAUGGAAAAAGAAGACGGAGAUGAACCUAUCUAAUUUAUUAAAAUGCUUUAUGAGAGUUAAAUAACUUUCGAUCAUAUGCCAAAAAAUUCUGAAAAGGAAACACAAUUAGAGGGUUUGACCCCUAAUCUUCGCCCACGGGGCAUGGAGGGACUUACUUAGUCCCUCUUCUGGUGGCCAUACCAAUCAAUGUACCUACUAAUCAAGACAUCAAAAGAAAGGUGGGGAAGAAGGAUAUUGUCUUUGACAAAAGGCGCCAAAUUAAGUGCGUGAAUGCGCAGGAAAAUGAUUCAUGGUAAUGUUUGCUAUUUAGUUUAUUUUACAAUUAUAUUUUUUUCUUACAUGGACUUACCAAGAGUGAUCAUUCUUGAGGUAAAAAGACAAUAGCAAUACGCUUUCAAAUGUCAAAGGGAAGGAAGGUAAAAAAAGACGACGUUGUGUUUGUCGAAAUUAAAACACUUGUUGGUAAUAUUAAUACGUGUCACUCAAGUAAUUUAGUUUUUCUUAUACGGAAUUCACAUAAAAUUGUCAUUCUUGAAUCAAAAGCAAAGUAGGAAUUGGUUUGUAAAAUUAAAAAAAAAAUAUAGGGAAUUAAAUCUGUGUAAAUUUAAAUAUUUAAUUGAUUAACAGGGAUGAUAUUUUGGACCUAUAUAAAUUUCACCUCAUUGAAUAAAUCUGAGAAACUUUCUAAGCCAAUAUACAGAUUGGAAGCCAAUUCACUAAAUGAAGAUCUAUUAACCACAACCAACCAAAAGAUCCAUGGAAAACUGUAGGGCACAACGUUUAUUGUGCUCAAAUCUGAUGACUUAAGAGGGUUUUUGGAGCUAGUCACUAUACUUUUAUACGGUUUAAUUAGUUAAACCUAUCAUGGUAGUUGUGGAUUCUACUCAAAAUUUAUUUAUCAUGAUCAGAUUUAAUUUAUGCCUCAUAUUGUUUACAUUUCAGAUUAUGUACUGUACUGACUAAUUGGACUAUUGAACAAAGAAAUACUCUUUCUCUCAGACUUGACACUAACAUGUCAAGCGAGAACCAAACCCCUAAUAAAGCCUCUUAUCAACUUCUGACUCGACCAUGAAUCAGUUCGGAACCAACCAAAAUUCAUCCAAUUGGAUCACUCAACAACUAUACGAGUAAUAUAUUCUGGGCAUUUAGAUAAUUCUUCUAUAUAUCCUUGGAAUAUAUUCUGGGCAUUCUAUUAAAGCACAAGGUAUCAUCCAAAGAUUGCUAGAAAUGAAAAGUACUAAAACACGUACCAGCAAAGCAGCUACAUAAGAUUUACAUUUCCUGGACCAAUGCCGUAACAAGUACAACAACUCUAGUAAUAACAAUUCCGGUACUUCUCCUGAAUUGGCAAGAUCAGCUGCACCAAUUGCACCCUUGUGUCAAAGUCCAUGUGCCACUACUUCUCUUCUUUGCUAUGAGAAUAUGGGCAGUUGUAUGACAUUCUGUCUAUAUACUACAAUACAAGAAAAGUAUACUCCAAACUAAGUAUCCAGUUUCCAGCCUGUUAUGUGCGAAACCACUCGGAGGAUUGUUCCCUGCCUCGUGAGUUUCAUCGCUUCCCUGUCAAGUACUUAUUCUGGGUACCAUUAGCCUUGGAGGUUUCUCCAAUAACCUCGUCAUCAUCAUCGUCUGUGUCAAUUUCAGCCGCAGUACGGUUCAACCUGGUUCUCUUGCGAAUUCUCCAGCUGGGAAGGUAAAAAUUAAAGUAGUAGCUGACUAUGCUUGCUCUACUUUUGUUGGGCAGAAAUUGACUGGCCAGCUGCAGAAAAGUUUUACGCGUUGAUGAGGGAAGGUUCCUUUUCUUCAUCACAGAGUUGAACCUAAGCAUAUCCCCUAAAGUCCAGGAAUCAGUAGAAUCUUCUCCCAUCUCAUCAAAUUUCCAGGUUUGAAAAGCAGGCCCCAAUUCAGCCUUCAGUUUUCCUCUUUCCUCCACCAUAUGACGAUGAACACAGUCAACAGAUCCAGGCAUUUGGCAAUUACAAGCAUCCCCCUCGUGCGUCGAACUGUUGUUCGUCUCUUGGCUAGGUUGGUUUGGUUCAUUUCUUGACCAUAUCUUCGUACCAAACCACUUUCGAUUGUUUGGGUUGCUGGCGUACUGGUCCUUAGUGGACAAGAUAGGCAAAUAAGCUUGAAAUGGAUCUUUUUUGGGGAUUUCCUCGUACUCUGAUUCGUUAGCUACCUCCGGGAUUACCUUUGGACCUCCUGAUUCAUUCCUAAUAUAAGGGACUACCCCCCGCUCUUGCUGAAUAAAAUUUAUCCAAUCCCUUUUGCACUCCUUGGGGUUCUCAACUUUGAGUAGUCGCUUUCGCUUCUGUUUACUUGACAUGCUGGUCAUUUCAAGUCACCAACGAGGGUGUGAGACAUAGAGAUGUUCCAAUUAGAUCCGUGCGGUUGGAUAUGAAUCAAAAUAUUGUAAUUCGUAGUUCUGACGAAUGUACCUGAUGAAGUCCAGGAGAUGAAAGACUGAAUUGGUUCAGAUGGCAAAAGUUAUUGGAUCCUGGUAUUCUGCGUACAAGACGACAGAAACAUAGGAAAAGAAUAAAGGAUUAGCAAUGUUCUACAGACUUGCGAAGGAGGACAAAGCAAAACGUACAGGAGAUGUAAGACACAUGAUAUUCAUGGAAAAAAGUCGCAAGUAAAUGCAUAUUUUGCUUGCAUGUCGAUUAAUUUGACAUGUCAACGUGUACAUCAGCACUCGAUUCUUGCUCCCUAAGUAAGAGCGUUCUAAUCUCUGAAUAUUAUGCAAAGGAAAACAAUAAUUUCUUAAGAAAUUCUGUAAGUCUGAUGACCGAAAGUUACAAUAAAAUUAUAAUGCUCAAUAUGAUAGCAACUGCAAUCUAGGAAAUGGACCAUAUGAAGAAGACGAAGGAGUACAUUUCUUCAACUUUCAAUAGUUAUAUCUCCAAAAAAUAAACAUAAAAAAAAAGAAAAUUUCAGUAAUUAGAAAAUUAAAAUUGACCGAAGUGCCUUUGAUCCAAAAAUUCAAUCAUGCAAACCAAACUAGAAGAACAUACAUUUAUAAUAUGGUAAUUCAGUUACCAAAUCUAACACAUUUUAGGUUGUGAUUUUUUUCAGAAAAAAUUCAAGAAUAAGAAAAUCUUGCAAGCCCGCUAAGGAAACCUUGUACUCCAUCUAUUUUUCUCGUCUCUACCAUUAUAUAGUUAUCUAUCGUUCCUGCUCUGCAAAAGUCAUCCGAAACUCAAGGCUAAUUUUGGCAUUUUAUUGGUUGAACCAGCUCCAAGUACAACCCUAUAUUGUAUAUUCCGCAGGCCGCAAAGUAUAGAGCUGUAAUCCAAGUAAAUAAAACAAGAAAAGUUUAUAUUAAAAAAAAAGAAAAGGAACGGUGAUAAAUUUUGUUUUUCCUCUUUCUUUUCUCGAGCCCGCCAUUUUUCAAAUUCAAUAUCGAAACAAAAAUACAAAAAAGAUAAUCGAGAGAGUUCUCCGAGUCGUUUCAACCAAAUAUUACCCGACAUUAACGAAAAUACCAGCAGAAAGAAAUAUUACCUCUCCAAUACAAACAGAAACCUUUCGCCUGAGAAUAGUCUGCGGGUUCUGCAAUGAAGAAUGGUAAUAGCCCAGUUCCUCUGUAAUGUCGUUGAAAUCUGACGUUCUCCUCUUACUUGUUGUCUUUACCUCUGUUUUACAGCUGGAAUCUGACUGUUAUAAUUCGUUUUUAGCGUCUGUGGUAGAUUUCUGAUCUCGUUCUCUCCUCCGAAAACGCAAAUCUUCAGAAGAAGAUGAUUCGGUUCUCUGAGUUGAAGAUUCAAUGCAAAAGAAUCAGAUAUAAUAUCGAUUCCCAUUCAAGAUAUAGCAGGUUCUCUAUUAGAUUAUGAUUUUUCAGCUGUUUUCUCCAAAGAGAUGAAGAAACUCAAGGCCCUAACCGCAAAUUUAUUGCGAUUUCAUGACUUUCUGAUCGAUGAAAUCUCCAUAUGAGAAUCGAAUGAGUCGUUGUCUUGAAAUUGUUAUGAUCACGAUAUUCAAGAAAAUAACCGAGUUUUCAGAUAAUUUUCGUAAAGUUUGAGGGUUGAGGAAAAUUUUUGAGCAAUUAAAAGAUGCAGAAGAUAAAAGAGUAGAAGUAAAAUGUAUUUUAAUGGAAGGUUAAAUUAAAGGAAAAAUUGGCUUACCUUAUUUAUAUGUGACGCAGGGGAUUCCCUUGCGCUCGCUCCCGCUUACGCUUAGUUUGAUUCAUAUAGCUUUAGUUUGAUUCAUAUAGCUUGUUGACGACGAAUCAAUACUUAAUGAGCUAAUGCUGUGGGUAAUUGUGAAAUAAUAAAAUAAAGUCGUAAAUAUUGUCCUAUUUAUGGACUAUAUGAUUUACUUGUUUCAGUCAAUCAAAAGACACCUGCAAAUGAUUUAUGAACUGUAUGAUUUACUUGUUUCGAAGAGUCAAAAGACACCUGCAAAUGGCACUGCUUUAAAAGAGAGAUGUUAAUGACAUUUCUUUAUUUGUUAAUGACAAUCUAUUUGACCUUUUCAGCGUGUCAAUUGAAAAUUUUUUAUUGAAUUUGCAAUGCAUCUUGUUUUUAUCAUGAGAAUGUUUAACUUGUCAUUAGAACAGCAAUGUAAAUCAAAUCGUAUUAGACGAUUUUCAGUAAUUCAUUAAUGAAAUUUGCUUUUUAUCAAAAAAAAAUCUGAAAAAAAUCAAGGAGUAUCGUUAGCGAAUAAAAGCGCCAUCAGCCUAUCUCAUUUUAAAAGUACUACUAUCAUUUGCAUAUCUACGAGUCCAUUAAUAAAUAAACCCAUUUCUUAUCAUGAAGUAUGAAUCUUCUAUACCAAACAGCGAUUUGGAUUAUCUGCUUGUAUUGCCUCACAUCCCAUUUCAAUCACACUAAUGUUGAGAACUUAUUUCCUGUUUGGAGUUGGAUGAGAAGGAUUGAAGAUCAAUAGGAGGGGUAAAAUAAUACACGAAUAGUUUGAUGGGAUAAGGCUAUGAAUUAGAAUGUAUCACCACUUAGGAUCCGGUUCAUUGCGGUUGUCGCAGAGGGCAUUUGAUGGCUAGCCUGAUUCGAGCUGUCAAAUGCAUGGUGCGAUUGCUCCUGCAACUGCACAAAUCCUAUUACUUAUCGACCACAAUGAGCUCAACUUAUGCAUAUGCUAGAAUUGGGCAAGGUUUUCUUAUGUAGGAUGGAGGACACGCAAAAGAAAUGAAGCAUUAGGGAAACUCGUAAUGCUCUUUGGUGCCCAAAUAAUUCUUGUGCACGGCCAUAUAUGUACGCAAAGAUGCUAUGCAUAAUUCAUAUUCAGUCGAAUGCAGUAGUCUGGGACAAUCUUAUCACAAGCACGAAAUACUCAAAUCGAGCAAAUAAAGCUUCAAUGAACACAAUUGUAAUUCAAAUUCAAGGCUUCAAGCAGCGUUUUCUUGAGGAGCAUUGGCUGAAAACAUAGGACUUUUCAAAUAUGUAAAAUGAGCAAUGCCACAGGCAAUAAUUACUCAACAUCAAAGCCUUUUUGCUGAAGCUCAGAUACGACUUCAUUCUUCAUCCUCAUCCACAGCUUAAAAGCCUCCUGCUCAAACUUCUUGUCCUGCAAAUUCUUUUGAAAAUUGAUCGAAUCUUUAUCUGUUUCGAUGAUGCCUUUCGGCCCAAUUGUAGUUCCAAUCAUCCCACCCUUAGCAAUGAACUCCUCCAUUGCCUCCUUGUCACCUGGAUAUGGAAAAUUUGGGCGCUCGUAGAGAUGGGCUAGCUCCUGUUCCUCCUUAGGCUGGGGCUUUAAAGUCCACCAGCCAAGCGGUGACGUCUCGUUCCACAGCCAAGCUACGCCAAAAAGCGUGUAGGUGCACAACAAUGCCUUGCCUAUUUGCUUCCAGAAGUGAUAGUCUUCUUUUCCUAGCCCAACUUUCUUCAAAAAGUUCUCGGCGUAAAACAGACCUGAAAGAGAUUCAUGCAUAGAUUAGAAGUAUGCAGCCAAUUGGUUGAGGCUUUUCGUCGAACGACUUGUGUCAAUUACCCAUGUACACUGACAGAUAAUAAAUGAAACCAUAGAAAUAAGCAGGAACUUAUACCUGCUUCAUUUUUUAAAAAUAUCUUGGUACCGAAAGAGAAUUGGCACGAAAAUUUGCAUUUUACCUGUUCUCGUGUCCUGAAAUCGUUUGCGAACCAUUGAUGAAAGAGCUCGAGAAAGAGAGCGUCGGGGUGUUCAGGAGCGAAAGCUGAAUAAUGCAACUGGUAUAUACGGUCGGUCUGCUUUUGGGUUUCGUGGGUAGUGAGUAUCUAGCCUAUCAAUAAUUUUAAGAUUGUCAGAAAUUAAUUAGGUCUUUCAGGAUAGAAUUGGUCUAGAAAUUUUUAUUUUUAUUAUUUUUUAAAAAUGGUCAUGAAUAAUUUCAUUUCAAAGCAGCGCCUAAUUACCUCAAGAAUCUUGAAAGUCACGUCCAAAAAACCACGUAAUCAGUGAAUCUUUAUUCAUAUACCUCAAGUCUUAACGUACUUUUGUUAGCCCUAUAUCAUUGUUUUUAUUUUUUUAAUUCCAAAAUCACUGGGUUACGGCCUUGACGACCUUCAAAGAUGUGUGUUGCUUAAGGAAUAAGUGAGGAGUAGAACCUUGUUUUUUUUUUCCCUAACGAUAACAGUUAAGCAGGAAACUUUUGACUUGGACCAUUUAAUGUAGUAAAAACAAGCUAAAAGUCUACUUUGACCCAACCACUUGUUUUACAUCAUAUAUUGCCAUGCAAACCUGUCAAGAAAUUGCUGUAAUCUUGUAAUUUGUGAUAUCCCAAUAAACUGUUUCAUCUAUGCAAACAAACAGUCAUUGAAGAACAUAUGUUUGAAAUUCUCAACAACUCUGACGGAUGCAUCUUUCUGCAGUGAGGAAACUUGCCACCUUGUAUACCUCAUCAGCGAAGAGUCCCAACUGGUUUUUUGUACGUGUACCACUUUGCAAUGAGGAUAUAAGCUCCCAAAUUCAGCACGCUUAGCACAGCCAAGAGCCAGAAGAAGUAAUCGGUGUGACCGCGAUUAAGAUUAUUCGGUAUCCAACCAGGUUUUCCAUUCUUUGUGCUAAUUCUUGUCACAAUGGUCACAAGCAAGGAACUCAAGUAGUUUCCCAAGGCAACUGUGGUCAGGGAGAGAGCAACACCCAAACUUCUCAUGGCAUCAGGUGCUUGCUCAUAGAAGAAUUCCAGCUGUCCAAUGAAUGUGAAAACUUCUGCACAACCUAUGAUGAAAUACUGAGGCACCUGCCAAAAUAUUGACAUGGGUAUCUCUUCAAGAUCAUAGGAGUUAUGUCUUUUCACAUAGCGUAAUCUAACAAGUUCCAAGAUCCCUGCUGAGAGCAUGGCAAAGAUCGAUAUGAGGAGCCCGAUUCCCAUUCUCUGAAGCUGAGUCAAGCCAUUUUUGUGACCUGUGAACUUUCUGGCAACCGGGACAAUAAUUCGGUCAUAAACAGGAACCCAGAAUAUGACACUCAGGGUGUCAAAAAUCCCAAGUGAUGCAGGCGGGAUUUGGAAGGUAGAAUGUCCCACAUAAGUAUUCAUCGUUUCUCCUUGUAAGACGAACAGGGUGCUCAUUUGACCAUACACACUGCUGAAGAUGAUACCUGUUGCCCAUAUAGGAAGCAAUCGUAUUAUGGCUUUUAGCUCCUCAACUUGAGUCACCGUACAAAGUCUCCAAGGAUCUACAGAGCCCCUUUUAUAGUCAGAUUCCCUCUCAACGGCUGCCUUGUCAAAGAAACUGUUUAGGAUAACAUUAUACAAUAUUUCAGUUUUGAAACAAUGCAAGGGGCAAGCAAGCAGUUGACACGGCAAAGGAGAUUGUUCAAGAUUAAAUCAAGAAAGGCUUCAUUUCAGCCAUUGGUUUUGAAAGAACUGUAAAAGUACACAAGACGUGUUAACUGCAAAUAUAUUUCUUAUAUUACAUUUGAAGUGAUGAUUCCUAUAGAACUAUUCAAAGGAAGGUGUUAUGCCUUUGACCAAAUGAAUAAGGAGUUAUGCCAAAGCAGUGUCCGUUCCUUUCUUGUCAAGUUUCCGAGAGGUAGAGACUGUUUGUUUUUAGCCAUUAAAAGAAGAAGUUCUGAAACCUUAAAAAUGACUACCCAAUAAAAAUUCUUAAUUCUUUAGAAAAUUUGAGUAUGUGUGUGUAUAUAUAUAUAUGUUUAUAUAUAUACAUACAUAUAUAGAUGAAUAUAUAUAUGUUUAUAUAUAUACAUACAUAUGUAUAUGAAUAUAUAUGUAUACAUAUAUGUAUGUAUGUAUGUAUAUAAUCAAUUUUUUCCCUGAAAAUUGCAUAGUUAUCCAACGUAACUCCACUUUUUCCAUUCAAUACUUCAAAAAAGUACCAUCAGAUAGAUGACUGGCUAAGAACCAUUUAAUGAUCCUUUGAAUAUCUUUUGAACUCAAUCUUGAAAGCAAGCAAAAAUUAUCAAUCAAGUUUAAAACCACGAGGUAGGCAGGAUGAUAUGGUGCUUACACAAGAUCACUAGUAUGCCCAAGCUUCCGACUUCCUUCUAUUGCAGAUUCAGUAUCUUUGCAUUCAUACAACAAAGACUUGUCUUCAGGCACUUCAACUUUAUACUUCUUGAAAGAUGCAACAAGCACUUGGCACAAGCGCGUCAAAGGGCUUCCUCCUGGUUUUUGGUUACGAUACAAUCGAGAACCUGAAAAGAAACUAACCGCAGCAAUCGCCAUUGUUACGGCUGGAAUGCCAAAUCCCCAUCCCCAACCCACAUUAUCUUGUACCCAGACCAGCACUGAUGAAGCAAUAAGUGCACCAAUGUUGAUUGAAAAAUAGAACCAAUUAAAGAAAGAAGCCUUGUGCUUCUUUUCAACCUCAUCUGUGUCAUCAAACUGAUCGGCUCCAUAGGAAGAUACACAAGGCUUUAUACCACCAGUUCCCAAUGCUAUGAGAUAAAGAGCUAAAAAGACAACAGAACUCUGUGUUCCUGUUGCAUGGCAAGAUUCCUUUCCAUGACAGGUUGGCUUCAGACCGGGGAUUGAGGCUGAUAAUGUCAACAAUGUCAUCCCCUGCACAUCAAAUGGUUAUCAUUUUUGAAGCUUGUUAACCAGAUCAGAAUGUAUUAAGAAGACUGGAAAUUUUGAAAUCAUUUAAAUUUGCUUUCUUAUAAAAUCUGUAUUUCUUUAUUAGAACAUUUCAUCUGUCUAAUUAUUGAACUAAACAUGGGUUAUUGUGCUUGCUGGAGUUUGAUAAUUUACCAUGUAUAGAACUAAGAGAUUGCAUUUCUCUACAUUGAUGAUGUGGCCCAAAAUACACUAUGAAUCAAGGAUAGGCAGAAGUAGACCAGACAAGAAAUGGUUGUGCCCCAAAUUACUCCACUUUAACGUUAACUUCUUUCCUACAUGUACCAUGUAAUUUUAUCUAAUUUCUUCAGCGCGAGUCAUACCUACCUAAGUUGCAAAAGAAUUUGUGCAUAUACAUUUCAGCCGAAAAGAGAUUACCAGAACAUAGAUGAUUGAGAAACAAGCAAUUGUCCAAAAUCUUCCAAGAUAUGCAUCUGCAAAAAAUGCUCCAAUUAAGGGUGUGAUAUAGCAUGUCCCAGACCAAUCAGAUACAUUUUUAGAAGCAGUGGCAUUGUGCUGUCCAAGUCGAUGCUUGAAAAAUAGCACCAGAUUAGAACUCAUUCCAUAAUAUGCCAAUCUUUCACAACAUUCAUUUCCUACAGUAAAAAUCAACAAAGGAGCAUAAGUUUUGCCUGAAAUAUCAAUCUUCACCUCUGAUAAACCUGAUGAAAAGCAAAUUAUUUUGGUACCUAAGAUGUAAGGACAGGCUCUCCAAGUCCCAGUUUCAUUUUUCUUGGCAGGAUUACCACGGCAGUCAACUGUCCCGUCCUUAGUAUACAAGUCAUCCUCUGCCAUAGCUUUCUGGAUACCAAUCCCUGCCACAAGAGUAGACCACUGCAGAGCUUUUGCAGCAGCAAAGCCAAGGCAGAACUCAAAGAUUACUUGAACCUGCAAAUUUGAUUGCAAGUAAUCAAAAUUUCUUCAGCUAAUUAGCAUAGUCCAAGUGGUGGUUAGAAGGACGGAGGUUACCAUCCCGCCUUUGUUGUUGGUACAACUGGCAAUAUAUUAGUAUUUAGUUUUUCAUACCAAAAAUUCUUAAGUAUAUGAACCAUUUAUAAAAAACAAAAGUCAUUAAUCUCCUGAACUGGGACUAUAUAGCAGCACCUAGACACACAGUAAUAGAAUAUUGAUGACAACUUAAGGUUUAUAAUUCAUUGAUUUAGUACGAUGUUACACUUCCCUUAGAACAAACUUUGUGUCUGUUUUUCUUUUUAUUUUUCUUUUUUUUUUAAUUCAAUCUGUCAUUAAUUUGUGAGACCUCUUUUGCAAUACAUGAUAUCAUAGGCCCUUGUUUUUCUCAAGGAACCUCUUCCUAGUUAAAUACAAAUUCUAUACGCCACUAUCCUCAACCUUAGAGAAAGCACGUUCCUUUCCAUUAACAUGUGGUACUAUGCAAAUUUUGAGCCUAAAUGUUGAUUCACUUUUAAUAGAUUAGUUUCCACAAAAAGGAUUCAUAAAAUAAAGUACCAUAAUUUUUAGAGUCAAUCUUUCCUACGUUGACGGUGUAUAUACUAUCAGCGUUGUUGAAUUUAUGACGUGUGCAAAAGUUGAAUUACAAAUUCAAAUUUUGCAUAGUUAUCAUUCAUCCACCAACUGACAGGAUAGGAAAGAUUAAUCCAAUUUUUUAUUGAAAAACUUCAGAUCUCUCUCCAUACUCUUCUCCCUGAUCCCUCCUCUCUAUCUAUUCCUAACACUAGCCCUCUAUCCGCAAACUUCACUGACCUCUCUUUCCCCUACCCUGCAUCAUAAAAGCAAAAUAGUAGUAGUAUGUAUUUUCUGAUGGGCUAACCACUCUAAAACAAUCGAAUCCACUCAUUCAAUAGAUUCCGUAUUCGAAGCUCAAGAUAAGCACAGAAGGUUCCAAUCAUGCAUCACAAAAGAACACUGAGAAUUAGCCAAUCAAGAAAUCAAAAGCCAUAAACAAAAAGAUUAGCUAAGAAUGAUAGCAAACAGAACGAAAAUCAAAAUACACACCUGAAGCUGGCGGGACAAUAAUCAGUCAGAUUUACGUAGCUGAGAAAAAGAGCCUUAGCCCAGAAAAGUUGAGGACAAGUGCGAAUAAGGUUGAUGAUUAAAAAUCAGUAAAACCCAAAGAUUGGACGUUUACUAGAAUGCAGAAUGAGAAUCAUAAGCGUCAACUUUUGGAGACAGUUGCGUCCUUGUCCCAACUCCAGUACUACUUGCGCUGAGCUACACAGUGACGGGAAUAGUCAACUGAAGCAUGGGGAGGAAAAGGAAAAGGAUGACUAGGGAAAAGCUACCAACCAGCAACAGCGUGCGCCCACAAAUGCUGGAAGAAUUUUCACUUGUUUCGGGAUUCAUCAUAUUUCCAAUUCACCGACUGAUACUGAAUUGGACUUGAAAGAUCCCUUGGGCCGGCGAGGCGGCUACAGUAGUGCUAGUGCCAGCUCACACUUUCCAUUAAUUGACCCUUUUACCCUUUACGGCGGUUUGGUCCAAAUGCUGCCACCUCCCUUCCCUUUUCUUUCCUUUUCUUUUCAUUCGUUUUUGGUCGAGCGAUUCUAGAUUUAUAUUUUGUUGUUGAGUUGAUCAAAUAUGUUUCAUAGCGCGUUUAAGAUUAGAUGUCCUCAAUUGGAUUUUAUUAGAGAGAUACAAUCAUGAAGAGAGAGCGACUAGAAAAUAAUAACCAGACAAUUGAUCUAUUUUUUUUUUUUUUGGGCACAUUUUGAAAUAGAAUUAUAUUCCAUGAUCCUACUGAAUUAAAUUAACCGUUGUUAGCUAUUUCGAUGGAAUAGCAACUACGUAACUGGUUUUGCAACGUCCAUGAAUUCUAUACUUUUUUGGAGCAAAACAAGUGAAUGCCAUUUUUUUUUUACUGGUAUCAGUGUCAUGGAUUUGUUUUCGGGAAAGAGAGAGAGAAGGGGGGGAUAGAUUUGUCUUUUAAAUAAGAUUGGAUAGAGAAGAUGACGUUUUCCGCUGCCGGGAUUGUCAAGUAUUUGAUUAUCCUCAGUUGACUACAAGUUUGGAUUUAAGGAUUAAGGAUAAUAAUUGGAAAAAUGGUCAUCCAUUCAAAUGAUUGAUUCCCCAGUUGAAAAUAAUAUUAAAAAAAAAAAAGAGGUUAUGGUCCAUUCAGACGGAGACACUCAUCCAAUCUAAUUAUUAGUGUUUAAAAUUUACUCAAUUGUUUUGUGGGUUUUUUGCCCUAUUUUUUUUUUUCACCAUAAAAUCACAAGAUAAUCGCUUAAAGCAGCGUCGUUGAAUUGACUCAAAUAUUUACGCCACCUUCCUUUUCUUUUCUUUUCUUUUUUCAUUUUUCAUUCGAGCAAUUCUUUUUUACUGUUGUGUUGAGCUGAUCAAAUAUAUUUCAUUGCACGGUCAAAAUUGGAUGUCCUCAAAUUAGAUUUUAUUGGAGAGAUAUAAAAUAGUCAUGAAGUGAGAAUGACUAGCAAAUAGUGACGAGACACUUUUAUUGUCAUGGAUUUGUCUGCCCCAUACUCUAUUUUUUAAAGGGAUGUAUUUGUCUUUAAGUAAGAUGGGAUUGAGAAGAUGACGUUUGCUCCAGCAAAAGAUGAAUGAUAUUCCACUGCCAGAUUGAUAAGGAUUUGAUUAUUCUCAGUUGGCUGCAGCACUGAUAAUUGGAAAAAUGGUUAUCCACUCCAAUGAUAAUUCACCAAUUGAAAAAAAAAAAAAAAGAAAGGGUUAUGGCCAGUUUAGACGGAGACGCUGGAAAAUUAUUUUAUCUAUCAAGGAUUGUUAGAUCAAGUGACAGGCAACUUAAUAGGUAUCUCUUAAAUAAGGUCUCGAUUCGAGGCUAGCGGAUGAUGAAAAUCUCACAGCGAAUUUGUAUCUUCCUACGAUUCGUUCGUUUUUGACCUUUCUCAUCUAUUAGUUCCUUCUGGCCUCAGACCAACGGAUGACUCUUCUAUUCUCCUUUGUUUACUAGGAAUGGAAACGUAAGACCGACGGGACGUUAAAGGUCGGCACCAAAGCAUGAAGAGAGAGCAAAAUCAAUCUCUUCGCACAAUGCAAUUGUAAUUGUAUACUUCUCAUUUUUCUUUUUUGUUUUUUCUACGCCUAUUCCUACUCUAGCCUAUUCUAAAAGGAGGUCUAACUGGAUCAAUGGAGGGAUCAACGAUUUUUUCUACAUCUAUUCCUACUCUAACCUAUUCUAAAGGAGGUCUAACUGAAUCAAUGGAGGGAUCAACAGGGACUGAACCACCAUCGGAUCAGACGGAUGCACUACAUACUCGUCUGAAUAUUUUAAAAAAUCGCAUAAUGUAACAAUUCGUGAGAGGCAAGGACUUGACAACUUGUCUCCCACCACACUAAACCUUAAGGACUUGGCAGUGACCAUUGUUUUUUAGUCAUCUUUGGUUUUAGUGAUUUUCACACUUCACAGAAGACAAAAGACAAGAAUUUCAGACUGUAUAUCAUGAUUACGGCAUUGCACCUAAUCAGGUUGCUGGCAUUUCUCACUUCUUUCUUCCCAAGAUAAUUAUCGUGCAUACACCUUUGAUAUCUUUAUCAAGUUACAUAUGAAUCAUAGAUUUGAAACAGCUGAUUUUUGCUGAUAUGCUCGAUACUUUUCUGCAUAAUUAUUAGAAGAUUUUAAUUGUGUACAAGGUCGAGCAGGAAGCCAAGCUAUCUAUUUCGAUUUUACUGUCUCGUUGAACAAAGGAAGACGGAGAACUCUAUGCAAUACUUAAGUUACCCUUAAACCGUAAUCUCACAUUUUCUUCUUUUUCUAUGUUGAAAUUGCAAUCAUUUAUCACCGGAGAGUUUAGUUCCGACCGCCUUUUUGUAUGUGUACCUUUGGGCAACCGCAAGAAAAACUCCAAAAUUUAGCACCCCGAGCCCAGAUAGGAGCCAGAAGAAGUAAUCGAGAUGGCCAUAAUUGAAGUUGUCCGCUAUCCAUCCUGGUUUUCCACCCCUGGUGCUGGCUUUUGUGACAAUUUGCACUAACAAAGAACUCAAAUAGCUACCGAGUGAUCCGGUGGUGAGCGAUAGAGCAGCGCACAAGCUUCUUAUGGAAUCAGGUGCUUGUUCAUAGAAAAACUCCAGUUGUCCAAUGAAUAUGAAAACUUCUGCACAGCCUAUUAUGAAGUACUGAGGAACCUGCCAGAAUACUGAAAUUGGUAUCAGCUUUGCAUCAUACAGGUUAUGCCUCCUCACUAUUCCAAGCCUAACGAUCUCUAAAACAGCCGCAGUUACCAUGGCGAGAAUUGCUAUGACCAUUCCAAUGCCCAUUCUCUGCAGCUGUGUCAAGCCAUUUUUCUGACCAGUAAUUUUUCUGGCAAAGGGGGUGAUUAUUUUGUCAUAAAUUGGAACCCAGACAAUGACACUGAGAGUGUCGAAAACACUAAGGGAUGCUUCUGGGAUCUUGAAUCUAGUGUUUCCUAAAUGUGUAUCCAUGACCUCGGCUUGCGACACAAAUAAAUUCCCCAUUUGGCUGUAAACAGCGCUAACGAUAAUGCCAGUGGCCCAAACAGGUAGCAAUCUUAAGAUUGAUUUUAGCUCCUCCACUUGUGUCACAGUGCAAAGUCUCCAUGCGCUUACUUUUGAUUCAUUUGUGCGAUCAGAUUCUGUCUCCACCGCUGCCUUGUCAAAGAAACUGCAAAUGACCCAACAGUCUUGAUUUAGAAUACCUAAAGAGAAACAUAAUAGCAAUAAAAGCUGAAGUUUACUGAGCAAUGCAAUCAUUGCUCUUUCACCUCCCUUUGUUGAUAUGUAUAAACAGAACCAUUUGAACAUUUUUAAUCAACUCUGUCUCUUCUUCAUUUUAGUUUCUUCCGUUUUCUAUUUAACAAUAAAAUUACACCGGAGGUACCAUCUUUAGUUACAGACUCCAGUGGUUUGAUCAUUUCAUCUUGCUUUCCGAACCAACAGAAAAUAAUAUACUGGAAAACUGACACAGCUAAAGGCUUUUUAUCUAAAAGCACACCUGAAGGCUUUUGUGUGUUCAAGCUUGCGACUGCCUACAAUAGCACUUGUCUCAUCUGCAACCUCGUAGAGUUGAGAUUUGUCAGCAGGCAGUGGAACGUCAUAUUUUCUCAGAGAUGCCACCAAGACCUGGCAUAGGCGAGUCAAGGGACUGCCUCCUGGUAUCUGAUAACGGUAGAUUCGUGUACCUGAAAAGAAGGAUACCACAGCUAUCGCCAUAGCUGCAGCAGGUAUACCAAAACCCCAUCCCCACCCGACAUGUAAUUGUAUAUAGACCAGAAAAGAUGAAGCAACAAGUGCCCCAAUGUUGAUACUGAAGUAGAACCAAUUGAAGAAAGAGCUUUUGAAGUUUUUCUCAGUUUCAUCAGCAUCAUCAAACUGGUCUGCUCCAUAGGAUGAGACACACGGCUUGAUCCCUCCAGUUCCUAGCGCUACCAGGUAGAGUGCAAGGAAGCUUACUGUUGUCUGAAUGCUUGUUGGGUCGCAAACAUCUUCAGCAGAACAGGCGGGUUUUAGGCCCGGGACGGACGCCGACAAUGUUAAAAGUGUCAUGCCCUGUCACACAAUUAAAGUCAUCUUUUGGCAUCUUAUGAUCAAAACAGAUCUCAAACCAAACAGAUUACUAUGCUACUCAGCUUGGUUUCCACUAAAUAUAAGCAAAUAAAAUUUUUGAAAAAGUUUCACGGCUACAAGCAGCUCGGAAACUAAUGAAACAAUACAUAUAAACCAAGGAAGGCUGCCGGCCUGCGCCUGCCUGCUUUGUCUACAUGUGGCCAAGAUGACAAGUAGCUUUAUCCAUCUGGAUUUGUUAAAACGGAAAAACAACCAACCAUAAAAUGCAAUACAUACAAUGAAGUAGAUGAUUGAGAAGCUGGCGAUCGUCCAAUAUCUUCCAAGACAUGAAUCCGCAAGAAACGCUCCUAAUAAUGGCAUGAUAUAGCAUGUUCCUGACCAAUUUGAGACGUUUCUUGACGCUUCAGCAGUAUGCUGAUUGAGUUGCUUUGUGAAAUAGAUCAUCAGAUUGCUGCUCAUUCCGUAGUACGCCAAUCUUUCACAGCAUUCAUUUCCUAACAGCAAAAAGAAUAAAAAGUAUAAUAUCAUCUCGCCAAGAAUGCCACGGUCCAAAUAAGAGGAAAACUAAGAUGAGACAAUUACCAAGGAUGUAAGGGCAGGCCUUCCAGGUUCCGGUUUUCCUCUUGUCAGCAGGGUUCUUACGAUAAUCAACUGUUCCAUCUUUGGUGUAAUAGUCAUCUGCUUCCAUGAUCUCCCGCAAACCGAAAGCAGUUAAGCCGCUGUUUCUCUCUUCUCCUUUGAGCAAUUACUCACACCUGGUACUCUAUGGUACCCAAGAAAGUAGUAGGCGGCAUGAAAUCAGAAAGAGGAGUCCACAAUUUAUAGACAUACACUAGCAGAUGAAUUUAUUACCAUAAUUAAUUCGCCAAGUUUGUGUGUUGAGUUGAGUGUAGGUCUCUAAAUCUGCUUUUAUGGCAUGAGAUUUAAAAGAGGAGUCCACAAUUUAUAGACACGCAUUAGCAGAUUAAUGCCAUAAUUACUUCGCCCAAAUUUGUGUGUUGAGGUGAGUAAACGGUCUCUAAAUCUGCUUUUAUGGUAUAUGAGCGACGUAAAUUUGUUUGCCAGCUAAAUCUCCAUUUUCAGCAUCUACAUCUACACCCAUCGUGGACACAGAUGUAGUCCUGGUACAUUACUUUGCAUCUGGUAUUUUCACCGUGUGGACGCAGUAAAAGUCAAGAGUGUUUGUCCUGUGGGAUCAGGGGCAUCACAAGUUUCAGUUCAGACCAAUUGCUCCUAAAGUGUAAAUAAGUAGAGACUUGAUGUAAAUAGAUUUAGGUAAGAGUGUAAAAUGAUACUGUAAUAUUGUAGUGUUAAAAUUACAAAAAUACCAUUUUAUCCUCAACUAAUCUGAAAUAGAACUUGUGAGUCCCGUGAUUCGUUUCUCUUGUGAUCCGUUCCUCUUGUGCUCUUUAAUGGGAUGGCAAAGAUAUGAUUUACUUGCUUUGAGUACUCGGCAGAGCAAUUUGUGGCCGCUUGCACACAAACAAGCACAUUUUUUCUUCAUAUUUCCAUUCCUCCAAGGUUUUGGUCUACCUAAGCAGUAGACACCACUAGAUUCGGAGAACAAAAGUUGAUUUUGGGCUUACAUUAGAUUGAUGAAACAAUGGCCAGACGAAUCACAUAGUUUUAUACCAUUUGAAACACAAACGAAUUCAACAAUGCCAUAUAUACAUUAUACAGUUCCUAGUUGCUACCACCAUGAACAGUCCAAGUCAUCGACCGGCCGACUGCAUUUAUAGCCAAUGUGUCUUUUUCCAUACGAACACGAAAUGCUAGGCUUCAAAAGAUUAGAGAAAUUAAUGCUUACCACCAAUGGCCUCUAGCAUGAUCAACAUAAAAAUGGAGGAAAAUGCGUGCCGGAAAGAAAUUCAAACAACAACUUUGAAAAGAAAAGAAAACAUCAAAAUAAUUUCUCUAUCUGAUGAUGAAGAAGAAUAAUGUCAAAUUGGAAUAAUCCCUAGUAUGCUGCAGUAAGAUGUGGUAAACUCACGUUAGAGAAAUUGAAAAAGAAAAGGAAAGGAGAAAGAUGGGAAGAACUCACGUACAAGAAGUAGGAUGGCCAAAGUAAGUCUGAUGGGGAGCAGCAAAACGUACCUUGAAAAGAUAAAAUGGCAAAUUACGUACAUACUCCCUAAAAUUUUGCAUAAUGCCUGAUGAUCUUUUUAAGAUUUUAAAAUAGUCAUGUAAUCCCGUAUAGUUCCACAUAGUCAGUUGGGGCGAUUAUACCAAAGGCGUUCUAGAAGUGUGUAUGAUGAAAUGAUAAUAUCCAUUUAACUUCUCUAUAGUUUGCAUAAAUAUUCACUUUAUUUCCUUAAAGUAUUUACAUUUUUUAACAUAAUCUCCUUGUAGUUUUAUAGAUAGUUAAGAUGUAGUCUGAUUUAACAUUUUAAGUAAGGAGCACUAUUAGUAUUUCAAUUAAUAACAUUACAUAGGUUAUUUUUCGUUAAAUUUUCACUUUAUUUGAAACCAUAAAAUGGUGAAAUAGACAUUUAGAAACAUUACAGAUGCCAUGUAGCAAUAGAUGAAAUCACCGGGGGGGUCAUUUAUAAUUUACCCGAGAUCAAAUGACCGAUUGGUCGAACUCACAGGUGAAAGAAAGGAUCUUAGAAAGAAAUGCAGACUUCCUUAACCCUGUGCUCUUUAGAAAAUAUUCAAGCAAUGAAUCCAAUCGCAUUUUAACCAGGAUUUAGUUAAUAGUAAUUCAAUGAGUGGUUGGACACAUUGAAUAAUCUCUCACUUUGUGAAACUGCAGUGAAUUGUCAUCAACUGGCAGUCUCCAUAAAUGGCGGGCUUCAAUAAAACUACAUUAACUGCAAAUGUAUCUGUUUGAUUCCAUUUCGAUUGAGCAUAUCUAUAGAACUGUUGAAAAGAACUUCUUAGGCCUAUAAUCAAAUGAAUAAUUUUUCUGACUUUUCAUCAUGAUAUCUUGAUAAUCACCAUUCAGCAUAUAGGAGUCUACUGAUGCCUAAUCAGUGCAUGGAAAUGGAGACUCAGUGAUUAACAACAAAGAAAACCAGAACAUAAAUGGUUGAGACAACUAUUGUGCCAAAUCUUCCUAGAUAGGCAUUUAAGAGAGAGAGGCUCUUCAGGGGUGCGACGCAGCUGUUGGAUGUGCCAAACCAAGUACAGACGUUAUUAGAAGCAGUGAGUGGCCUUGUAUCUGGCCAAGUUUUUGUUUGUUUGUUUUUUUUUUUGGGUAAAAUAAGGUGGUUAACAUAAAUUAAACAUUAUCAAUUACAAUCAUCCUGGGUGUACACUACAAACCCAUUACAUCUUGCAGCACAAUAUUAGAAAUAGUAGCAGGGCAAGAAUCGAAACUACAAAAGGUGGUAAAAUAGAGGUCUCCGUCUUGGCAAAAGCAUCAGCACGUUGGUUCCCUUCAGAGUGAACGUGCAUGAUAAUAAUCUGCGGGAAUCUAGACUUUAAAGAGUCCUGCAACCAGCAGUAAGAGGGGAUAGAUAGUUCAUGAGAGAAGAAAAUAUGUAUUAUUAACAAGAAGAAAAUAAUCUCACAAGAGUCAACUCCCACAUUUAAACAGCUAAUAUUCAGCGACAGUGCCAAUUCAAGUCCAUCUCGUAGUGCCCACAACGGGCCUCUCUUGAAAUCCAUGACAUCGGUUUCCUUCUCGGUGUACGUGCCAUUUCUAAACUUGGGAAAUCCCUUCACCCGAGAGCCUGUGGAGUCCCUCAACAGACCCCCUGCCGCUGCUUUGCCAGGAUUACCCAGUGCUGAUGCAUCCGUCUUCGGCUUAAACCAAUUGGGACGCGGAGGAAGGAGACAAAUGGCUCGAGUUCUAGGGCCAAGAGUUGCAAAUUCCAGCGCAGAAUUAAAGAAGCAUCAGAUUAGUACCCAUGCCGUAGCAUGCCAAUCUCUCGCAACAUUCAGUCUCUAUCAAUGAAAAGUACAGAAGAAACAUGAGCUUUGACUAGAAAACAUGUUAUUCCAAUACCUAAAACGUAUGGGCAGGCUUCCCAAGUCCUGGUUUCAUUUUUCUUGGCUGGAUUAUUACGACAAUAGACUGUCCCGUCCUAAUUAGUAUACAAAUCAUCCUGUGUCGUGUCUUUAUAGACAUCAAUUUCUGCUUGAGGAUUUGGCUUUUUCUGCAAUGUCUCAUGCAAUAGCAAAGCUAUGUCAGAACUCAAAAGAAGAUCGCCUGAACCAGCAACUUUUGAUUGCGAGUAGAAUAAAAUUUCUUCAGCUAUAAAUUAGCCUACUUCAAAAUGGCAGUUGGAGUGACGGAGGUUUACCAUUUUGCUUUGGCCUUUGGUGUAACGGGUAAUAUACUUUACAAAGACUGAGCUUAAUAUACAGUGAAAAAAAGCACAAACCAUUAUAUCUCCUGCUCAGUAAAUAAUUAGCAGCAUUUAGAUGUACUCUAAUUGAUUAUAAAUUACAACUUGCAAUCAUGAUGGUUCUUUGAUUUACUUUACACUUCCUAUUAAACAGACUUUUGACCUGUCAUUAUUAAGUGAGACCCAUUUUGUACUACAUAAUACUCCCUCUCUUUUUUUAUAACUGACGUUUAAGAAAUUUGCUCUAAUGUAUUUUUAUCUGUCGUUUUAUUAUCUCCCUACACUAUUAAUUAUUUUUUCACAAUUUUACCCUUUUAUCUCUCUUUUUCAAUACAGGGUUCUUAAUUACUACUCUAGUUUGGUGGGAGUUAGUUUGCAUUACUUUUGGCCUAGUAAAACAGCACCAUUUAGUACUCUAGUGAGAGAAAAUAUGGGUGAAUUGGACAAUUAAUGAGGGUACAAAAGAAAAGUAGUGUACAGAUUUAAACAAUACAAAAUUUUUCUUAAUUAGUGUGUAAAAUCUUAAACGUCAGUUAUAAACUCAAUAAGUACGUUUCCUUUCCUUCUUUCCCAAUCGAUUGGAGACAUCACGCCACGAUGUUCAUGGCAAUGCAAAUUAUAGUCCUCAUAGCUAAACUCAAUAAAAUAAACAUAUGCUUAUCGUGGAUUCUUCUCCUGUACAUUUCUCCCUAGCGGUGCAUUAUUAAAUUAGUAUUAAGCACACCCACGUAUGUGUGUUUGUAUAUGGGUCAAAUUAAGCACACUGUCGCCACGUGGUUUUAGUGCUUGUGUGCAUCGUGAGUAGUGAUGCUCCACCGCAUGAAAACAAAAACAAAAACAAGGGACUGCGAGAGGAUUUCCAAAAGUAAUCAAUUUAUGUACAGUACAGGAUCGAAGCAGAAUAUAAAAAGCUAUUCACAUCAAACGAAGUAGUAUUCGUUUUACCAUCUAGCGGAACAAAGAAAAUGCAAAAACAUAAAACUUCUAAGCUGCCCUUUAACCCCAAUCCCACUUCUUCUUCGAUUCUGAAGGAGCAGAUUUAUUUAUUUUUUUUUUUUUUUUAAUCAGCGAAGGGUUCCGACUGCCUUCUUGUAUGUAUACCUCUGGGCAAUCACAAGAAAAACUCCAAAGUUUAGCACGCUAAGCGCAGCCAAGAGCCAGAAGAAGUAGUCCAGAUGACCAUAGUUUAAGUUGUCCGGUAUCCAUCCUGGUUUGCCACCCCUGGUGCUGGCUUUUGUGACGAUCGUUACUAAAAAGGAACUCAGAUAGUUGCCAAGUGCGGUGGUGGUGAGCGAUAGAGCAGCGCACAAGCUUCUCAUGGAAUCAGGUGCCUGUUCGUAGAAAAACUCUAGCUGUCCAAUGAAUGUGAACACUUCUGCACAACCUAUUAUGAAGUACUGAGGGAUCUGCCAGAACACUGAAAUUGGAAUCAGCUCUGCGUCGUAUAGGUUAUGUCUCUUCACUAUUCCAAGCCUAACAAUCUCUAGAACAGCUGCAGAUACCAUAGCAAAAACUGAUAUGACCAGUCCGAUGCCCAUUCUCUGCAGCUGGGUCAAGCCAUUUUUGCGGCCUGUAAUUUUUCUGGCAAAAGGGGUUAUUAUUGUGUCAUAAAUCGGAACCCAGAUAAUGACACUGAGUGUGUCAAAAACGCUGAGUGAUGCUUCUGGGAUCUCAAAUGAAGUUUUUCCCAAAUGGGUGUCCAUGACUUCGGCUUGUGAUACAAAUAAGUUCCCCAUUUGACCAUAAACGGCACUGAACAUAAUACCAGUGGCCCAAACAGGUAGCAAUCUUACGAUUGAUUUCAGCUCCUCCACCUGUGUCACGGUGCAAAGCCUCCAUGCACUCACUUUUGAUUCAUUUGCACGAUCUGAUUCUGUCUCCACUGCCGCCUUGUCAAAGAAACUGCAAAUAUAUAACACAACAAUUUUCAUUUAGAAAUCUGGGACUGGCAAUUUCAAACCUAAGGAGAGGCAUGAUAGCAAUACAAACUGAAGUAUACUUGGCAAUGCAGUCAUUGCUGUCUCGUCUCGCCUACAUGCAUAAAGUUGUUAAGGAUGUGUGGACCACUAAUGUUUGAACAGUUUCAAAUCAACUCUUGACUCUUCUUAAUUUUAGUUUCUUCUGUUUUCUAGUAAACAGCAAAAUUACAAAAGAUACUACCAUCUUUAGUUACAAACUUCGGUGGUUUGAUCCUUUCAUCUUUUCUUUGUGAACAAAAAGACAAAAUACGUUAACUGGAAAGCUUACGAAUUAUCUCAAAGCAUACCUGAAGGAAUCUGUGUGUUCAAGCUUGCGACUGCCUACAAUAGCACUUGUCUCAUCUGCAACCUCAUAAAGUUGAGAUUUGUCAGCAGGCAGUGGAACGCUAUGCUUUCUGAAAGAUGCCACCAAGACCUGGCAUAAGCGAGUCAAGGGACUGCCUCCUGGUAUCUGAUAACGGUAGAUUCGGGUACCAGAAAAGAAGGAAACCACUGCUAUUGCCAUUGCCGCAGCAGGUAUACCGAACCCCCAUCCCCACCCGACAUGUAAUUGUAUAUAGACCAAUAAAGAUGAAGCAAUUAGUGCCCCAAUGUUGAUACUGAAAUAGAACCAAUUGAAGAAAGAGCCUUUGAAGUUUUUCUCAGUUUCAUCAGCAUCAUCAAACUGAUCUGCUCCAUAGGAUGAGACACACGGCUUGAUCCCUCCAGUUCCUAGUGCUACCAGGUAGAGUGCUAUGAAGCAGACUGUUGUCUGAGUGCCCGUUGGCUGGCAAACAUCCUUGGCAGAACAGGUGGGUUUUAGGCCUGGGACCGAUGCCGACAAUGUCAAAAGUGUCAUGCCCUGUAACAAAAUUAAAGUCAUUUUAUGACAUCUCAUGAUCAAAACAGAUCCCCAUGCAGCUCAGCUUGGGUUCCACUAAAUAUCAGCACAUAAAGUAUUUGAAAAUUAAAUUUAAUGAAACAAAACAUAUAAACCAAAUACCAUCUUUCACUUCUUUAGAAAAAUGAAGAGCCCAGAGUUUAAACAUUAUUAUAUGCAUGUAUUGGCAAGGGUUGUCAUUCACAUUAAAUUAAAAAAAAAAAUUUUUUGGAGGAGCUAGUUUUGACUCCCAAGACUAGACUAUUGAAAGUCAUGAAUGCUUUGCCUACACCUUUCUGUGAUGACAAAUAGCUUUGUCCUUUGGAAUUUGUUAAAAUGGAAAAAUAAUCAGCGAAAAGUGAAAAACAUACAAUGAAGUAGAUGGUUGAGAAGCUGGCGAUUGUCCAAUAUCUUCCAAGAUAUGAAUCAGCAAGAAAUGCUCCCAGUAGUGGCAUGAUAUAGCAUGUUCCGGACCAAUUCGAGAGAUUUCUUGAAGCAUCAGCAGUGUGCUGAUUGAGUUGCUUUGUGAAGUAGAUCAUCAGAUUGCUGCUCAUUCCAUAGUACGCCAAUCUUUCACUGCAUUCAUUUCCUGACAGCAAAAACAAUAAAAAGUCCAACGUUAUCAUCCCAAGCAUGCCCCAGUUCAAAUAAUGGUAAAACUCAGAUGAAACAAUUACCAAGGAUGUAAGGACAGGCCUUCCAGGUUCCGGUUUUCCUCUUAUCUGCAGGGUUCUUACGAUAAUCAACUGUUCCAUCUUUGGUGUAAUAGUCAUCUGCUUCCAUGAUAUCCAGCAAAGGGUGCGCAAUCAAACAGCUGUUUUCCCUUGCGGAAUUAAUCAAACCUGGUGCACUAUGAUGCCCAAGAAAAUUAGUCGGCAUGAGAUUCAAAAGAGAGGUCCACAAUUUAUGAACAUACAUCACCAGAAAGCAAGAUUAAUUGCGUUUUCAAUUAGGUGUUAUUAAAUCUGCUUUUAUUAUAUGUGAGCAAUACAAGUUUGUUUAGCUGCAAGAUUUCCAUGUUCAGCAUCUAUAUUUUAGCCUGUACAGAAAAGUAGUCAUCAUACAUCACUUUUCUAUCCAAAUUUUUCCACUGUGUGGAUGCAACAAAAGUCAGAGAACUUUUCUUCUGAUAUUUAAUGAAAUAGUAAAACUGCUACUUGCUCCGUCAUUCAAGUAUUUUGCCCAAGCCAAGCACAAAAUUCCCACAUGCAUGUAUUGAAAUAUAUAUAAUCGAGUCCAACUACACUGUAUCCUAUUUUAUCUUACCAUGAAGAAGCUGAUGCGAAAUCCACAAAACACCAUCAAUGAGCACACUAGGCAUCAUGGGCGAUUGAAAAAAGAAGUAGGAGUAUUUGUUUCAGGCGGGGAGAGAGAUUCCAUGCAGACCAGAGUUAUAUACUAAGAUUUUUGCCAGUUUGUCGUCAUUGAAAACAGUACUGCAACUGGUUAAACUUACUUCUUGAGGAUGUGAAAGUAAAAUACUUCUUGUAGAAAAAGCACCAAAUUAUUUGCCGAAAGAAUAAAAAACUUCCUUGUCACUAGUCUACCUCUAUUUAUUUUAUUUGACCCGAAGAUAAUCCACCACCGUUUGACAGACAGUAACAUAAAUCACAGCCGGAGAAGAUUCAAUAAAAGGAUCCGUACGACGUCUUUUUUUUUUGUUUAAUUAUAUAUUUUCUUCAAUUGUCGUUAUCAUAUCAUAUGGAACAUGCGGCAUCUCCAACGUGGGGGAUUCCCAGUUUCCAACAUCAACAUCAAAAGAUUGACGAUCAAGUCAUCAUCGACUAACGAAAGGAGAAAAAAAAAACGAAGAAAUUUAGGACUAGUAGUAAUAGUUGUAGGGAUCAGGAAAAACAUACCCGUGACAAAACAAAUGACAGGUCGUCGAAGGACCUAAGGAAGAAAGCCGGACUUCCUAACCCUGAGUUUCCUGUGCAAGUUAUACUGCUAACAUUCAAGACACAGAAUCCAAUUGGGCCUUCUUAUCUUAUACUGGGAUUUCGUGAAUGGGAUUCUUUUUUCCCGUGAAUGGGAUUUAAUUGAGGGGUUUGACGCGUUGAAUAUCUGUUAUUUCUCACUUGUACCCGAAUACCGAUCGUCUACUCACUUCCUAUGAAUCUGUCAUCCAUUCAGUCUCCAUACAUCGAGGGGCAUCAAUGGUACUGCACUACAGUCCCAUUGCAAUCCGCAACCCUCAUAGGAAUUCCUCCUUAACCUUCAAUUCUUAAAAGCCAAAAAUUAAGAAGAAAGAAAAAUGUAUGGUUAGUAAAAAGCUAAAUCAAAUAGGAUUUGACCACCAACAUUGUUGGACCUAAUGUUUUGUUUAAGAUCGGAUUCUACCUAGAUUUUUUUUUUUUUUUUGGGUCAGGAUCGAAUUGUGGAAUCCUACAAAAAAAGAUAAAAUAUAUAUAUAUAUGCAUACUAAUAAUUUUUAAAAGUUUGCAAUUCACAUAACCGACAAUAAAUACUCCCUCCCUUUUUUUAUAACUGACGUUUAAGGUUUUGCACACCAAUUAAGAAAAGUUUUUCAUUGUUUAAAUCUAUACACUACUUUCCUUUUGUACCCUCAUUAAAGAAUAUUUUUUUUUUGGUCAGGAUCGAAUUGUGAAAUCGAUGGAUCCUACAAAAAAGGUAAAAAAAAUAUAUAUGUAUAUAUAUAUAUAUUCAUACUAAUAAUUUUUAAAAGUUUGCAAUUCACAUAACCGACAAUAAAUAAUACAAUUCAUGUUCAAUCAAUAUAAUGGCCGCACGAUAAGAACCACCGAUCCUAGCUGUACUUAAUCGUCGUUUAACUGAAUCUCUCGAGAUUAUCUCUAUUUUUGAUUGGGGAUUCCUCACUUGCUGAGAAUUCUGAGAAUGACCAAAUACCCAUUUCCAUAAAUUUCUUCAAUUAUUGAACACAAAAUAGUGGGAGCUCUGAUUUCACCCUAGUUAUUAGUUAGGUUUUUUUUUCCACUUUAUCCCUUGAAACAUUAGUUAACUCUAAUAUUGUGUUGUAUAAUGGUGUUGUCAAAAAGAUAUUUAUGCCCUUAAUUAAUAGUUAAAUGCAAUAAUUCCCCUAACUUAUUUUGCUCUUUAUCUCCAAACAUCAUUUUUUCCUAAUUUGUCUAUUUGUCACCAAAAUCUUUAGUCAACCCCGAUAUUUUAUAAUCCAGGGUAAAUAAUGUAUAAAAAUAUAUUUUCCUAACAUAGUAAUGAAAAUGUUAUAUAUUUACAGAUAUUGUACUAAUUAAAUUGGGAAUGUGCAUAUGGUUGCACUUUUAUUUUAAUAGUUAGAUAUUUUCUUCAUAUUGGAAUAUAAAUUUUUUGUUGUUAAUACUUAAAAAAGAGAGAAACAUUGUUCAUUUGGGCUUUCAAGUUUCGAGGGUCAUUUUUAUAAUAUAGCAUGAUUAGAUGCUAUUAAAAAUUGUUUGGAUUGCUAAAUUUUUCUAAAAAAUUUUUUUUGUCGAGUCAUAAGCACAUUUCUCAAUCAUCUUUUUAUUUUUUUCACAAACAUCAGAUAGCAAAAAGUAUUACAAUAUUUUUUUAAAAAAAUUUUCAAAUAAUCUUCAAUCCAAACAAACCCAAUCUAUAGACCUUUAAUAAUAUUUUUAUAGUUUUUUUCUCACUAAUAAUUUUUCUUUUUCCCCUUAUCAUGCAAAACGAGUUGGGAUAUUACCCUUUAUAUAAAACCUACAAUUAUGGAGAUAACAUUUAACAAAGCCAAUAUCCAUAAAUGUACCAUAAUUUUCAUUGUUAUGUUAGGAAUGCUGAUUUAAAUAUUAUCUAUCUUGAGUGAUUUUAGGGACAAAUAGACAAAAUAACAGAAAAAUGAAAUUAGAGGAUAUUGUAUGUUAAGGGAAUUUAUUGGACUUAACACCUAAGGGCAUAAAUAUCUUUAUAACAUUUUCGUUAUACAAUGUUAAAGUUGACUAAAGGUUUAAGGGAUAAAAUGAGAAAAAAUCAACAUUAAGAGAUAAAGUGAAAAUUUGUUAAAUGUUAAGAGGAGUUUUUGUGAUUAACCAAUUUUUUAUAUUACGACAUUAUUAACCAUUCCACUGAUAUUGAAGCUCGAAACCUUCCGUUUCAUUCAAUAUCACAUGGACAUUAGAGGCAUUCUUUUCUUUUGGUUGCUAUAAUUACUUUUUCGCGGUUGGGACUUCGGGGAUACAAGUAGAACUUGAGCAGAUUUCGUCAAUACAAAACUGUUUUACCAACAUUACCCCCCUAGUAUGUUAUUUGCACUUCCGCUAUCUCAAUUUUAUUUCGAUGAGACUAUACUACCUCUACCCUAAUUUUUUUGCCUUGCCCAUGUGCUAACUAUACUGGAUGCGGUCAUCCAAUUAGGGUAGGAGUAGAAAUCAGGAUAGGAAUAAUACGGUUUCAUCAAAAUAAAAAUGCGACAGUGGGAGUACAAAUAGCAUAAUAGGAGUUUAAAUAACAUUAUCCAAAAAACAAUUGACAAAGAUGAAGCUACCUCAUAAUUCUUGACAAUUAAAUAAUUAAAAGAGUUACGGUCCACUUUCUUUGCCUUAACGAAUUGAGUUCGUGGUUUAUUACGAGUAUUCUUAAAAUCCCCAUCCCAUCAUCAAGAGUCUUUUUCAGAGACUAGGACGUCUUCAAGAUGGUAUAUGAUGCAAUGGUGGUUGUUGAUUUCUCCCAAAAAAUACCAAACCAGUAAAGCCAUUAAAGUAUUCCGUCUCCGUAAGAGAUUAAUCAAUGCCAUAAACUAACAUUUAUGUCAAUUACAUCUAGAUAUUUGGUCAUCAAAUACAAGCCGAUCAAGUGAGAAGUCUUUGUUUGAUGGUCUUCUUUAGUUAGUGUCUUAUUAAAAUUUUAAUAUUACUGCUAACCCCUUCCAUUCACCCUAUUAAGAGCAAGCGACACCAAAUCCUCCACUUUUGCCCUUAGAAUAACCAAAUAAUAACGAGUUAAUGAAUUCUAAAAUCUUUUAUCACAGAAGAUUUAUAUGGGCAGAAGAAGGGAUAGGGACUUCAGAAGGUAGUUCAUGGAGUACGUAGUGUGAUUGGAAUUAAUAUACUAUUGAGUAUGACAAAACAAUCGUUUCUUUGCUUUCCGCGAUAGAGAUUGUAGACGGACAAAAAUGGGUUCUCUCCGGAGUAACUUUUACGCAGUAAAAUGGCAUGAAGUGCAAGCCAAAGGACGUUCACUCAGACUCAGUGCAGGAAUUUAUGUGCAGUAGUCAGCUUUGGACCUUUUGUGAAAUACAUAUGACUCCAAUUAGAAGUAUUGUCAUCAUAAAUCUUUUUUUUUUCAGCUAAAAGCCAGUUAUUUGACUACAGUUAAUUUUAUUUUUUUUUUUGGCAACGAAGGAGUGAAAUUUAAAAUACUUAGAAGAAGAGGGAUUUGAAUUCAAAACCCCUAGCUCGGGAAGUGGUGUUUUUGACCACCACAAUUAACUCUAAUAGAUAUUGCUUGCACAAUUUCCUUUUAGCAGCAAACAUUAAUCAUCACAUAUUCACAUGACCAAGUUGGUUCGUGCAGGAGUCACUAUUCCGAUCGAGUUGCAAAUAAGUGACAGCCCUUUGGCGACGCGCGCAUGUAACUUACUUUAUAAACCCUUUUGCACAAGUCAUGUAUUAGUGGGUAUCAACUCAACGUUGUUAAUCUCCUAUGAUCAAUAACACUAGGAAUCAUCACUGCGUUUGUUUAACUUUCUGGUCAAACGAUUUUUAAAAGUUGCUUAACAAACUUUUGCUUACUUUUUUCCUAGUUUAACAGCCAGACCAACCACCUAGCUUUCAUGCUAGUUGGUUAACUGUAAUUGAAAAAUGGGGAUUUGGUGAUUGAUUGUUGGAUCAAGUGGUGGAUUAGUUUCUUUCCAGAAAGCCCAACUUUAAAUGUCGAUGAUGGUUUAGGAAAAAAGAGGAAGCUUUUUAACUAAAACUACAUUUCAAGAACUAAAAACUUUCACCAAAAAAAGAAAGAAAGUUGCUGUAAGUUGUAAUGUAUUCGAAUUUCACUAUCGAAGCUAUGUCGAUGAUCCCUUUUUGUGUAAUGACUAAGAUAUUUGUUUUCUAGCCAAAUUUUAUGUACAAAGCAAAUGAGAAAUCAGGCUGCAAAUCUUUCGGUUAAGAAAGCAAACCCAUGAAAAGCUACCAUCCCUUAACUGCUUUGAGGUAAGGCAAACAGCAAAGGGUUUAAGCCACAAAAACACAAACCUCCAAAGAUGCUCUAAUCAAACAACCUUUGAAAAAUUUUGGGAAAUACCAGUAUCGUGCAUGAGGAUUGUCUCCUAUGUUUCCCUACAGGAUUCUAUACUAGUUACUCGUUCAGAACUCAAGUACCCUCAUCAUAUGUCCAAUGCCUUUUCUGCCGAAUUUUGGUCUAUCAUCAAUAGGACACCGAUUAACUAGAAAAGAAAAUGGUUUAUUGCAGGAAAAUCACUAUAUUCUUCGGUUAUGUAAGCUUGAGUCCUUCGAGUUACUUAAUUAUUUCUUUAUGUGAUUAGGAUUAGUAGUAUUUCACUUUAAUUUGUCCUGUAAGAGUAAUGGAUUUGUCACGCUUAAUUUGUAUCAUUAUUUUAAUUAGUAAGAAUUUAGUGAUUAAUCCUCAUUCUUUACAUGCAUAUAUGCUUGUAGUUUGCUGUAUUUCAUAUCAGAUGGGGCCAUAACUAAUUAUGUGAUGACUUGAUCACUAGCUGUUACGAUUCAGUAGAUAAUAUGCCCUUUUGAAUAUUGAAGGAAAGGGGUUUUUGUUAAAGCCUAAGAGAACUGUUUGAUUUUCUGCAGCAAUACAAUACACCGGCCGGGUUAAAAAUAAUAAUAACAACACCACAGCAAAAUGAGAAUUAGUUGGCACUGCUUCAAUUCUUUCCCUAUGUCAUCCACAUGACUCCUUACGUACGUAGAAAAGCAGUGCCAUGUUUGGUCACGUUAGCUAGGAUUUGUUGUAAUAAAACCACUAUUUGUUAGGCCAACCUGACUCUUAAUUAUAACCAGCAGCUUUGGUAGAUGUUUUGAGAGCUGUAUCCUAGAGUUAGUAGCUUCAAGAUUUAUCCUCCGAUGUACAUCCCUCGUUAACUACUUGGUGUGAAUUACAAGAAAUACAUUCCACCGAAACUCUGACGCCUUGAGUGUAUUUUCCUUCUCAAAAAUCCUUUCUAUAUAGCCCCUGAAGCUAACGACGUACAGCGACGUCGUAGCUAAGAAGCUAGCUUGUUUCUUCAUGUUGAUAGGCCCUCCCUGCCAUCAACCUCAAGUAUUCGGGAUAGAAGAUUCGCCCAAAGAAGUAUGCUUGUUCAUAUUUAUAGCCCUUCUCUGCCAUCAAUCCAAGGGAUUCGAGAAAAUUGACUCAGCUCAUUUCUCACGCACAAACACACAUAACAGAGGGAUGGCGACAUGGUUUCAAGUCGUGGUGCUGAUUGCUUGUUUGCUUCCUUCACUGGUUGAAUGCCGCGUUCGUGAAUACAAAUUCAACGUGAGCAAUGCAUGAAUCACUUUUUUUAUCUCGUAUCAGAAAAAGUGAUACAUAAUUAUUCAAAAAUUAUUUUCUGUGCUUGCAUGGCAAAGUAUUCCAAUUGAGUUUCUUUUUUCGGGCAAAUGCCAUUGCUUAUUAUGCAAUGCCGCAAUAAAAAUUUAGAUAUCCUGCACUUGAUUUAACUUUUUGAUCAGAAAUUAGGAGAGAAAAUGAUAUGGUUGAAACUGAUGGCAAGGGAACCAGGUGGUGAUGGCGAACGCCACAAGACUAUGCUCAACUAAGCCCAUAGUGACAGUGAAUGGGCAGUUUCCGGGUCCGACGAUCUAUGCCAGGGAAGAUGACACCGUUCUCAUCAAGGUUGUCAACCACGUCAAAUACAACCUCUCCAUCCAUUGGUUAGGCCUAUGACCCCACCAUGUAUAUGAUGAUGCUUUCAUUCCAAUUCUCCGUUUCUUCUCUAAAAUGCCACUGAAUUUGGAAAUAAAGUCUAAAAUUCUCUCUGAUUUUCCACCAUUUUCACCCUCUUUUCAUUCAACAUACUCUUCAAUUUUUUUGAAAUCAUUCUUCAAUUGACUCAAUAAUUAACAUGCUCUAAUUGCCCCUGUUGCUAACCAGUCUGAACCACUAAUACCGUAGCACUUAUUUGAUGUGAUGCAUGUGAAAUAAAAAAAAAUAAUUAAAAAUACAUAUUUAUAAUGCAAGCAAAUAAAUUUGUGUCAAUAAUAAAAUUCUGUUAACUAAACACACCGUGUGUUUUGGACUUAUGCGCAGGCAUGGCGUCAGGCAGCUUCGAACGGGAUGGGCCGACGGUCCAGCAUACAUUACGCAAUGUCCAAUUCAGCCAGGGCAAACCUAUGUCUACAACUUCACAAUCACAGGCCAGAGAGGAACGCUUUGGUGGCAUGCUCAUAUCCUAUGGCUUAGGGCCACUCUCCACGGCGCACUUGUCAUCCUUCCAAAGCCCGGCGUACCAUACCCAUUUCCCAGCCCACACGAGGAAACAAUCGUCAUAUUAGGUCAUAUAAAAUGUUUUUCAAAAAAAAAAAAAAAAGAAGAGUUAUUGAUAGUAUUACCAUGCAUCCAUCAUCUUUUAAAAUUUCUAUGCUUUGACUUUGUAGGUGAGUGGUGGAAGUCAGAUGUUGAAUCGGUUAUCAAAGAAGCAUUGAAAUCGGGCUUGGCACCUAAUGUUUCCGAUGCUCACACGAUCAACGGCCAUCCAGGGUCCGUCCCGAAUUGCUUCUCUAAAGGUAGCCAUCGAAUUCCUAACAUGCAUGCAAUUUCAAUCUGUGCAAAUCCCCAGUUUGCGCCUAACAAUUGUGCAUGCUUUCAUGCGCCAUAAUUACUCUUUUUGGUGACACUACUAGUACUAGAUGACUAAAUCCAAUCCUAUAAUACGCUGAAGUCCAAUACAUGAUGUUCUUAAUUAAUUUCAUGUGAUCUUCAUGAACCUCUUUUUUUUUUCUUUUUUGGGGGUAAUAAUACCCAGGAAGGUUCAGAUUGCCGGUGGAUCCAGGCAAGAAAUACAUGCUGAGAAUCAUCAAUGCAGCGCUUAAUGACGAACUUUUCUUCAAGAUUGCUGGUCACAAUCUCACAAUAGUUGAGGUUGAUGCAGCAUAUGUGAAACCAUUCACAACCGACACUAUUCUAAUAGCACCAGGCCAGACCACCAACGCCAUUGUAUCCACCGAUCAGGAAAGUGGCAAGUACUUAAUGGCAGCUUCGCCAUUUAUGGACGCCCCUAUUGCAGUUGAUAACCUUACCGCCACUGCCACAUUACGUUAUUCCGGCACCGUUUCGAGUAUUGCCACCACCUUGACAAGUCUGCCGUCUAAAAAUGCCACCCCUGUGGCUACAAAAUUUAUGGACUCCCUCAGAAGCCUGAACUCGCAAGAAUACCCUGCCCAGGUUCCCUUGGAUAUUGAUCAUUCUCUUCUUUUCACGAUUAGCAUUGGAAUCAACCCUUGCGCUACUUGUGUCAAUGGUAGCCGACUCGCGGCUGAUAUCAAUAAUAUCAGCUUCGUCUUGCCCAAAAUCUCUCUCCUGAAUGCACAUUUCUUUAAUCUAAGCGGAGUAUUCACUGAUGAUUUUCCAGGGAACCCGUUAAUGCCGUAUAAUUAUACGGGCAAGCAGCCUACCAACCUGGGGACUAUGAAAGGAACUAGGCUAUAUAGACUUGCCUACAAUUCCACUGUACAGUUAGUAUUGCAAGAUACUGGGAUGAUUAGCCCUGAAAGCCAUCCAUUUCAUCUGCAUGGUUUCAACUUUUUUGUGGUCGGAAGUGGUAUAGGCAAUUUCAACCCCAACAAGGAUCCGCCUAAUUUCAAUCUUGUUGACCCUGUUGAAAGAAAUACGGUCGGAGUGCCUACUGGUGGCUGGGUUGCCAUCAGAUUCCGAGCUGAUAAUCCGGGUAAUUUCUUGCUAUCAAAAUUUUAAUUUUUUCUUUUUUUUUUUUUGCACAAGUAGUAGAUGUUAUAUUACAUUUAUUACUCGCGAUUAAUGUUAUGAUGCGGAAAUAACGCAUUAGCUUGAGCGAGACAAGACUCGAUAAACCCAAAUUUUGUCGAAUGAUUAGUUGUUCACCUAAUAAUGGACUAAUGCUGCCGGAAAAAGCUAGCAGACAAUUGGUGGAACUUACGUAAUUAAAUGAACUUUGACUCAACAGCUGUUUGCAAGUAAACAAACAUCCUGUUAAAGUUGUGAACUUUGUUCUCCAAUAAAUCCAUAAACACUUCACUAUAGUAUCUGAUCUCUAAUGAAGUUCUUUAACUGAUAAGUGCCAGUGUUAUUAGAUGAUUUUCUGUAACAUCUUCAUGUUCUUGUUGUAGGGGUGUGGUUCUUGCACUGUCACUUGGAAGUUCACACCACAUGGGGACUUAAGAUGGCAUUUGUGGUGGACAAUGGGAGAGAUCCAGAUGAAUCCCUUCUACCACCACCGACAGAUUUACCCAAAUGUUGAGAACUUUCGGAUACUCCAUGUACAUUAUAUAACUUCAAAAAUCAGACAACGGAAGGCUGGACACUCAACAUAUAACAGGGCAGUUCACCCGGUAGAUUUCGUUUUAUAGCUUUCGGCUUGUUGCCAUGAACAAUCAUACAAAGAUAAGGAAAUUACCGUGAUAAACUUUUAUGUUCUGGAAAAGGAUAAAGAAUUAAGAGGGAAUGAAUAGCUGAAGCAACUGUCCCUAAGAUCCUGGGUAGUGUUGGAUUGGAUGAUAAGGUGGGAGAGAUUGUAAGUAAAAAUUCCUAAAUUCAAGAGUUUUCGCUUACAAAAAAAAAAAAUUAAUCGUAAUUGAAGAUUACUGUCCCUAGGAUCUGAUUUGUUUGGUUUCAAUUCCUGGUGCCAAAUGCAAUUGUAAUUUAAAUUGUGAUGUAUCCUUUUGCUACACGUAGUGUCUGAUUCGUCAAGGUGAAGCUUCGGUCCAAACGAAGUUUAUCAUACCAUUCCUUUAUGACGCAGUUGAACCUGGAGUAGAAAUUUGCAGAUAUGGAGAAUUACACUGUCAGUUCCUAAUCCUCCAUCGAAUUUCACCGUGGUCCACUUAUUUUUUCACUUUUCAAGCCAAUUUGCAACAAGUAAACAAUAAGGGGUUUACGUGAAAAUGUGAGACUUUUUGCAAGUAAAAUGCCCCUGAUCUGAUCUCUUUCUUCUACUUUCUGUGCGAGCUUCCUUGAUCUUAAAACAGAAGAAAAUUUGUGGAUACAAGCGUCACGUGACUAAAAAAACUCAAGAUAGCUUAGUGGAUUCAAUCCUCUUUGGUUGGAGUAGAUGGGCAAUUAAACAAAAUGGUUGUCGAUGCAGGAGAAAAAUGGAUCGAAAAUACAACAAAAGCCUAUGCAUUAAUAUUGGAGAGUACAUAUUUCUUCGUGAUUUGUUUGCAAGUAGCAGCAAAGAUAUAAUUUGUAAAAAAUUAGCUUUUCCUCGAGUAAACAGUACUAUUAGAAGGAGGUCCCAUAGGAUAUGUAAAACUUUUUCGUUCUUUUCUUAUUCAACUCUCGUUCAUUUGAUCCGACAAAUGAGAGUUCGAGGGAAUUGGUCGAGGUGCCUUGAGAAAGGUAAUUGAAAUACUGAUCAUCAUAAUGGAGAACUAUUCAGUGAGCAGAUGCCGAAAUCAUAGCUGUUUCAAGCAACGUUUGAACUAAGGGAAAAAAUAUAUAUAUAUAUAUAUAUGAGUGGAAGAUGAAAGGUACCAUUGGCCAACUACAUAAACCCUAAGUCGGAAAAACAGCAACCCAAGUCAUAGAUGAUAGAACCCAAUUCUCCACAAGCCCUUCUUCCUCAAGCUUUGGACUAGUAAUUGUUAACUUUGGCAAGAAUAAUUAUACGAAAUCACAGCUCAUCUUGCUUGCCAGAAAAACUAGAAAUACAGCUCAUAUAUCAAUAAUAAUGCAUGAACUCGAUCGUUCUACUGGUAUUGUUAGGUCAAUCAUUAUUAAUAUAUGGUAGUGCCUAAGUGGCAUAUAUAUAAGUCUAUAAUGCACGUAAAUGUUAGAAGAAUUAAAACUCUGUUUGCUCUUGUAAAAUGAUAAUGUUUAGAAAAUAAAAUGUUUUGGAUAUAAUACUCGGUUGAUUUUUCUCCCAUGGUGGGCGGAAAUAGUACAACAAUGUAUGUAUAUAUGCUAAGCGAUCCCUUAGUCAACUGGUUUCUGUAAAUUACAAGGUACCAUAUAAAAAAUAGAGCUACUCUGUAGAGUGUCAUUUUCGCCCGCAAAUCUGACUAAAACGACAUUGUAGCCAAGAUCCUUUAAAAGUUCAAUCUAACGUAACGCACCAAGUUAAACUACUAGAAUUGAACUAGUAGAAGAAGAAGAUCCACACCCGCACACACGCACAGAGAAAGAGAUGGCACCAUCAUCAUCAUCAUCAUGGCUUCGGCUUCGAGUGUUGGUGCUGGUGGCUUGUUUACUUCCGUCAUUCAUCCAAUGCAAGAUCCGCAUUUACAAGUUCAAUGUAAGUCAUCCAAAUUCUUCUAACUCAGUACAGAAUUGCAAUCCUUGCCCAGAAAUAGAAUGUUGCAUGGAACAUGCAUGAUGCUCUAGCUCCACAUAUCAUCAUCAGGCUCCUAUGUUUAAUUAGAUUCAUCUUAUGAUUUACAUGCAUUUUGUUUUCCAACUCGGGCUUCUAAUUAUACUUUCUUACCCUGAUUCAAAAUGCAUUAUGAGUUCCAUAUAGGCAUCAAUUUGCAUUAAUUAGCUUGCACUAAUGACAAUGCUGGCAGUCCACAGAGGCCAGAAUCAAGGCUGGGCUAACAAAUUGGAUUGUUUAGUACGUAGUAAUUCUCCAAUGCUAUCGCCACUUAGCUUUAAACUGGCAAGUAGUAGUUUGGAAAAUGGAAGAAUCAAAUUAAAUAAGAGAUUAAAAUGCUACGAUAAGGUGUGGUCAGGUGAUGGCGACGAACACUACAAGACUAUGCUCAACUAAGCCUGCAGUUACAGUUAACGGGCUUUUCCCGGGUCCAACAAUCUUUGCCAAUGAAGACGACGACCUACUCGUCAAGGUUGUCAACCAGGUCCAGUACAAUUUGACCAUCCACUGGUUAGUCUGAAACUGUACAAUUUGACAAUCCAUCCUUCUUCUUUUUUUUUUUCUAACUUUUUGCCUAAUUUUUAUUCUGCUGUUCACAAAGAACAGCGAAAUGGAUUUUAUCUACACAAAAAAAAAAAAUUUUGUUUGGAUAGUUGAUGGUGUGCAUUUUUUAUUUCACUUGUGGGCAGGCACGGAAUAAAGCAACUUCGCAGCGGAUGGGCGGACGGGCCGGCAUUCAUAACCCAAUGUCCAAUUCAACCAGGGCAAACUUACGUGUACAACUUCACAAUCACAGACCAGAGAGGAACGCUUUGGUGGCACGCUCAUAUUGGCUGGCUCCGGGCCACCGUCCACGGAGCACUUGUUAUCCUGCCUAAACUUGGCCUGCCCUACCCCUUUCCCCCCCCGGAUAGCGAAGUGGUCAUCAUUUUAGGUCGUACUAAUAUUUAUGCGAAAAUCGCCUUCUUUUAAGCAUUUCUAGUGUACUUUCGAAGCAUUAUUUAUGUCGCUGCUUAGGUCCUCUUCUUAACUGAUUUUGAUUGUAUAAAAAUUAUUUUCAGAAAAUCAGAAUUUUAAAAAAAAAAAUACUAAACUAGAAGCUUCUGAUUUUCAAUUUUUUUUUAUUACGCUAAAAAAAAUCCAAAAUUAGGAUAUGAAAAGCUAUUGAAAACAGAAGGAGGAAGAUUUAGCUGAGAACAAGAACUUAAUGGAUUAUUUAUUUUAUAUGGUUGCUGCAAUUGUGUUUUAUGUGAAAGCUCUGGUUUAAUCAAAUUUCCUCGUUCAAUUCAUAGCUGAAUGGUGGAAGUCAGAUAUCGAGACGCUGAUCAAUAGCGCAAUGAAAGAAGGCCUUCCAUUUCAGGUUUCUGAUGCAUACACAAUCAAUGGCCAAUCAAGGCCUAUCUCAAAUUGCUCUUCAGAAGGUACAAAGCAAAUUUGUUCUGCUACUGUCUCUUCUAUUACCUUGCAAUGAGCUUGAUUGAAUGUUCAGGAUUUGAUCGCCAUGUAUUUUCGCUUCUAAAAAAUUGGACAGGGGGAUUUAGUUUUCCGGUGGAACCAGGCAAGAAAUAUAUGCUGAGGAUCAUCAAUGCUGCACUUAAUGAAGAGCUCUUCUUCAAGAUUGCCGGCCACAGUCUCACGGUUGUUGAGGUUGAUGCAACCUAUGUGAAACCAUUCAAAACAGGCACCAUUUUCAUAACGCCAGGGCAGACCACAAAUGCCAUUUUAGAGGCUGAUCUUGGUACGGGCAACUACUUGAUGGCAGCCUCACCAUUCAUGGCGGAGCCCGUUCCUAUCGACUACACGGCUGCCACUGCCACUGUGCAUUAUUCCGGCACCCAAUCAUCUGCAGCCACCACAUUUACAGACCUUCCACCUAGAAAUGCAACUCCUCUGGCUACAGCAUUCGUCGACUCUCUGAAAAGCCUCAACUCACAAAGAUACCCUGCCAGAGUCCCCUUGACCGUUGAUCAUUCUCUCCUUUUCACAAUGGGCCUAGGCUUCAACCCCUGUGCUACUUGCAUCCGUGGAUCGCGAAUAGCUGCGUACUUCAACAACAUCUCAUUCAUCAGGCCAGAGAUCUCGCUCCUUAAUGCACAUUUCUUUAAUAUCAGCGGUGUCUUCGCUGAUGAUUUUCCGGGGAAUCCGCCAAUCCGGUAUAACUACACCGGCGAACAGCCUAAGAACCUUAGGACAAUGGAAGGUACGAGGCUUUACAGACUCGCCUUUAACUCGACAGUUCAACUGGUCUUGCAAGACACCGCAAUGAUCACCCCGGAAAACCAUCCGAUUCAUUUGCACGGAAUGAACUUCUUCGUCGUGGGAAGAGGUUUGGGGAAUUUCGAUCCAGAAAAGGAUCCCAGCAACUUUAAUCUUGUAGACCCUGUGGAAAGAAACACCGUUGGAGUCCCUUCUGGUGGAUGGGUAGCUGUCAGAUUCAGGGCUGAUAAUCCAGGUAACGUGUUAUUACCAAAUGCAGGACAGCACCCUUGCGGCAAAUUUUUUACUAAUCGCAUUAAUUUGGUACAUUCUUUUUUUUUUUUUUUUGGCUGCUGCAAAUCAGCAUUACUGAGAUAAAUUUAACUAUUAACCGAUUUGAUCCUCAAAAAAUAAUUUUUUGUUUAAAUCAAGAUUCUGAUUGUUCUUUUGCAGGAGUUUGGUUCAUGCAUUGCCAUCUAGAAUCACACACACUUGUGGGACUUGAGAUGGCAUUUGUGGUGGACAAUGGGCAAGGACCAAAUCAAUCUGUUCGUCCACCUCCUAGAGAUCUUCCCAGCUGCUGAGAAUUUCCCAAGGCCGAAAAUGCUGUCGCUUGCGCGUUACUUUCUUUUUGGGUUUCCUCCGUUGUAAAGUCAAAGAUGGAGAAGAGAUGGCAGACUAGGCAUGAAAAUAAGGACAUCACACACACCACUUGAUCAAUUCCCGCUGCCAAAUGUGACGGUUCCAUCCAAUGUUUGUGGAAUACGUACAAUAAUGUAUACUACUGAUUGUAAAUUUUUUUUUUUUUUUUUUUUUUUACUCCCCACCUCCUGGAACAAAGAUUAGGCAUAUCAUAAGAUGAACCAUUUUCUGUCUAACUCUGCCGGGCAAUCAUAAGCUGAUAUCCUUCAUACGAACAAGCAUUGCAUAUUUGCAUCCACACACAACGUUGAUAAAUAGUAGUAAACAAAAUCAUCUUUACACCUUAUGCUCCUCAAAGAAAAUAGGUACUCUAGAAAAUAGAUAACAAAACAAUUCAUUUUUCUUUUUGUUCAAGCCUCUUUCACUCCCAGAAUGGUAGAGCCAUCUAACCAACACUCCAGCUCCUUGGUUGUCUUAUCAUCAAGGAAACUAUGGGUACUACCACUUUCUAUAAGUAUACUCAUAGGUCUCCUCCUAAUGUACCUAGGCCUGUCAAUGGGUCGGGUCUAGAUCCGGAUCCGGACCGGAUCCGUGAAAUUAUUGUGGGUAUGGGUAGGGAUUUAAUUCCGUUUUCCGGAUCCGGAUCCGGAUCCGUUUUGUCAAACAAAAAAACAGGUCGGAUACGGAAUAUAGUAUUCCGACCCGUAUUAGACCCGGAUCCGGAUAUAAAUGAAUUAAUAAUUUAAAAAGUAUAUAUUUAUCAAUAUAAUUUGAUUAGGGUGAUGUAUUUUAAUAAAGUUAAUUUGAUUUCUUUUCUUAUUUGGUUUUUUCUUUGCAUUAGUUAGAAAUUAGUUUACAAAUAUUUUUUUUUCUCAUUUUUAUUAGAAAUUAUAAAUUUUGGUAAAUUUGUUCGAGUAGAUCCGGAUCCGGAUCCGGAUCCGGGACCCGCCGGAUCCAGAUCCGGAACAUAGAAUAAAAGACCCGUCGGAUAAACGGGUCGGAUCCGGAUCCGGCAUAGUAAUUCGGGUCCGGGUCCGGGUCCGAAAUAAUGAAUUCCGGCCCGUUGACAGCCCUAAAUGUACCCUAUAAUUCUCAUAGCUUGUGUUGUGCCGUCCUAGUCAAUGCAUGAAUGGAGAUUUCUACAUUACCAUCACCUACUUCCUCCUCAUCCAGCCAGCCACAAAAUAGUUCAGAGUUUUCACCUUCCUCUCCAUGAAUACCUCUAGGGCCUUCUCUCUCAUCCACCAAUAGGAAAUUAAUGUGGGCUUGCUUACAAACAUGUCCAACAAUGUAUGGCCCCUCACAUCUAUAGCAUAACCCCUUAUCCCUUCUGGGUUGGGAUUCAACAGGAAUGAUCCUUUUGAAUUGGCUCAGGUUCUUAUUUGUAGGUUUGGAGGUUUUGGGUUCUGAUUUUUUUAAGCUUGUGUUGGACCAUUUUUGGUUAUGGAAAGGCUUAUUAAAGGUCCUGGCAUUAGAGGAUGAAUAGCAUCUCUAGGGAAUGGGUUUUUGGCUUUUGUUUAUGGCUAAUAAGGUUUUUUCCUGCAAUUUUACAACCUUCAUAACCUGUGUCAAAUUCUGUUGCUCCACCAUGCUCUUAAUUUCUUCUUUCGAUCCUCUCAUAAACAUUGACAUAUAAUAGGAUUUGGACAUAGGAGGUAAAGAAGGCAUUACCAAUGCUUUCAAUAGUUCAAAUCUCUCUUGAUAUUCAGGGAUUGAACCUGUCUGUGUGAUCUUAGAGAAUUCUUCAAUAGCCUUUUCUAGAGAUCCAUCACCAAAAAGUUUACAAACCUCCAAAGGGAACUCAUUCCAAGGUAUGUAAUCUCUCCCCAUAAAAUUGCCCUGGAACCAAAUAUCUGCUCUUCCUUUUGAGUACAACUCUGCCAUGCCUGUUUUUAGCCCUUCUUCAAUGCCAUGCAUAAGAAAAUAUGCCCCUACCUUUCUCACCGCACUCUCUAGGAUUAUCCCCAUCAAAGGUAGGGAAAUCAAUUUUGGUAAUUUCGAACUAAUCUUCCCCUCAUUCCUCACUUGAUUACUCCUACGUGUUUCUUCUCUUUUCCCUUCUAUGGCCACCAGAUACUCUUCUCCAGUAGUACUACUACUGUCGAUCCCCUUCCUUUUGCUUAGUUGGAUUAAAGUUGUACUCAUUUUAGCUACCAUGUUCAUUAGAUAAUCAUAUUUUGCAUCUAAACUUUUCAAGGUUUUCUUAGUACUCUCCAGCUUACUCUCAAUUCCCUUUAUAGCCUAAUCCAACCCAUCACUCCUAUGGGCAACCCUCAUUACUGCACUUCCCAAAUCUAGAGUAUGCCUUUUUGAUGAUUCUUUAGCAGCCUUAGACAUUCCUCUCUUUGCUCGCAGCUAGCUCUACUGUAAUGGUACAUACUAAAGCAAUGGUAAUUUUAGAAACAAUUUUCCAAAUAAAUUAGUGUAGCAGUCAAAUGGGUAAAUUGGAAGCUCAAAUUCUCAUUAAUUAACUCAAAUAUUAUGGAGAAACAGAUAUUUGUGUGAGAUCAGAGGGUGAAGAAUGUUGUGAAGGAAACUUGGGGGAAAAGGAAGAAGGAAUUCACUAAACUAAAAGCAAAUUCAAUCUUGACAAAAGAAGCAAACUUGUAUUUGAAUGAAAUCGUGAGUUCGCAGGCUCUAUUUAAUCCUAAGGCUUUCAAUAGAAACAAAAUACUACUCCGAAUGGCUUGGUCCGAUUGGACAGGAAAUGAGGAGAAUGGAACUUGGAGAUCCAUUACAAGCUGCUUGAGGAAUUGGGCCAAGAUGGUCCACUGAAGCGUUGCUAGCUAGAGCGACCCAUUUCUAAAUGUUCUGUGUUCCAUGCAAUCUACAGAUCAUGGGCCUGCAUUGCAGACCGACCCAUGUCUAAUCUUUCUACUAUUUUUAACUGGACAUGUCUUUGACCAGGCUUGGUUGACAAAUAAGCAGGCUCGAGUCGAAUGGUCUCAAAAAAUAAUGAUGAGACUCUUGAUUGUGAUACAAUGAAAAGUGAGCGCAGCACACUUUUAACAACAAAUUAGCUAUUAACAAAUUCAAUUAAGACUAAAUUUUUUUUUUAAUAAAUAAAAAAGAACAAGCCAGGACCACCCCCCCCCCAGAUAUAAGAUAUAAUAAGAGUGAUAGAAACUAGUCCCACAUUGGCUCACCAAAUCAAGCUUUCUUUCAGAGUCCAAGGAAUUGGACGGCUGCCAUCUGUUGAGUUUGCAUAAGCCCAAAUGUCCAAUCGAAAACGAUAAUGAUGGCAGCAUUUCUUUAAUCUGCACUUUACGCGGAUUAAUCAAACCCCGAAGCGAAGUAAUCCAUAAUUCAUACUGUACUAAUUUUUAGAUUAGUCAAGACGAUGAAUUAGACAGGGUCCUUGAUGGGAAGGAAGCUAAUAAUAAAUACAUGGUGGGUGAACAAAAGGAUCGGUCUUUUGAUUGGAAUGGAAGGGGAAAAGCGAGCGGAACAGUAAAAAUUGAUUAACUAAAGUCGCAGAGGGAGGAAUUUAGGAGUUGGGAAAGACCUCGUGACUGCAAGUGAUUGAAGGCUGCACGCUUGCGCACAUGACACGAAUGAGAGAUGCACACGCUUUCCGAGUAGUGCUGCUGCUACCUUCGAGUCCUUCUGUCACAUGGCCGGACUAUUUUGACUUUUGGGAUUGGGAGAACAGAGAAAAAGAAUCUUUCCUUUAAUGGAAACAAAUUAGUUGCGGUGGCGUUGCCAACCCACUUUCUACUAUUUAUUGGGACAGUAGUAUUCUACUCGACUCUACUCUAAGAGUACUAUCCCCUCUCUUUCUUCAUUUAUUAUUAUUUUUUUUAUUUUUUUUUACCGAGUCUGCAGUCACCAUCAGCUCCAACAAACAAGACAGAUGGCAAUCAUCUUAGGUUUAUAUUUUUCCUUGUAAGUUGCAAUCAUCUUAUAGUUUUUUUUUGUAAAAUCUUUGUCCUUUUUUGUUGGAGAGUUGUAUAAUGAUUUUAAGAAACGAGACAGAUAGCAACAUUUGAAUCCGUGGUCUCUAAUUUCAAAAUGUUUUUAGAUAGUAGAUUAUUUAGGAUAAUUUUUUUUUUAUAAAAAAAAUAAUAUAACAGUUUUUUUAUAUGAUGUAUGUGAGAUAAAAAUGUGGUUAGAAAAUAUGUUAAUAAUGCAAACAAAUAAAAUUUUCUAAAUAAACUACAAUACAAACAAUGAGCCGGUAAAUCAUUUUAUAGUUAUUUAGACAAAUAUUUAAACUCGAUUCUCAUAUGCACUUUGAUAUUUCUAUAGAUAAUUAAAUUGGGGAAAGCUUUUUCCAAAGUUUAAAUUUUUUUUUUUUUUGGAAAACAAAAUAUUAUUGCGAUGCCGGCUAAUAGGCUAACACUUCUAAAGCUUGUUUUUUGAAGGAUAAAAGUAAUUUUAAUGUACUUUGUAAGCACCCGUCCUUGAAUUUAGGGGUAGAGCUUUUGACAUAAGUUCAAAAUGAGUGCUUUCAAAACAACUUUCUCGUUUCAAAAAAUAAAAAUUAAUUAUGAAACUUGAACUAAAUGGAGAAAUAAAUAUAUUUUAGAAAUUAAAUUCAAAAAUACACAUUAUUAAAUAGGAAAAUUACUUAUACAAGUAUGCAUAAUUAAACAAUUAAUAAGUACUUUGACCAUAAGUUUUAGUAAUUGAAAUACUUUUUAAUAAGCCAUGACCAACCCCCCAGUAUACUCGAAAUAUUUACGUAUCCAGGUUAUAACAUUUGGUUGCAUCACUCGUAGCACUUGCAGCAUUCAACCCUUUUUUUUUUUUAUUUUUUACAAGCGGCCAACCAGUCAGUGCAUUGCAUCUGGCUAGUAGAACCAGCUUGCUUUGUCGGCUUACGAAUUGAAAAUACGGGGCACUUGUUUUGAUUGUUCCAUUGUCUCCCGUGCCUUGUAUAAGGACAACAACAACCGAUAAGUAAUAAACGAGAUAGUUUUAUACCGGUAAAAGAGCAAAGAGAAUAUUUUGUUUACAUCUUCUUCAGUUUUUUCCUCAACAGUAGGUCCUGAGACGCAUGGCCUUGCGUUCAUUCGGCUGCUGGUGUACGCAAAAUUUUCUAAAUUCUAAGCUUAUAAUAGUAAUAUCUUACUCCAUUAGAUUAUAUAGAUAGAUAGUCAUAUACUAAUAGUAUUUUUUUUUUCAUUCAUCACUUAUCUACUUUAAUCCUACUCCAGUCUAAUUUAAUUGAGAUCCAACUACGUCUACAGAAAAAUCGAUAAGAACUGAAUCAUUAUCGGACCAGACAAGUGCAAUACUCACUUGUAUGAAUUUAAGAAAACUGCAUAUUGUGACGAACGACGGGAGUCAGAGUUUUAACCUUCGAUCUCCCACCCUACCAAGAUUUAAAAUUCUUUGACAACCCACAUACACUAAUGUAAUGGCUCCACUAAAUUGGCAACUCUCUCUCUCUCUCUCUCUUUCUUUUUGGUAUCAUCUUCUUGGCUUGGGGUUUCAGUUUUGCUUUUAGCACCCGUACU